This 46882-nucleotide long non-coding RNA is filed under the name Hordeum vulgare. RNAcentral's name for it is "long non-coding RNA (HVUL_LNC016763)". The record is from RNAcentral. Lineage: Eukaryota; Viridiplantae; Streptophyta; Magnoliopsida; Poales; Poaceae.
GAGGACGACCGCCUGUACGUGAACUAUCCAGAAGACUGAGGUCGUGGACGUGAUCGUGGACAAGCAUGCGGGAUAGCAUAGCCUUUUCUUAUGUUAUGUAGUCUCUAGCGGAACUACCUUGUCUGAAUAAAUGUGUGGAUGUAACUCUGAUAUUAUCUAUGGAGAUGGCAAACGAUUCCCUAUUUGUCAUUCUUAAACUAUGUAUGUCCUAUGUUUAUCUUGCUUGCGAAACGCUUAGAUGCGCAUCUUUCCAUUUUGGGGCCUCGUUCCCUAAAUCGGAAAGGACCGCAUCUUAGUCGUUACAAGUUGGUAAUCAGAGCCUUACGACCAUAGGAGCCUUUGUGUGAUCGUACUUGGCCGAGUUGAGUCUAGUAAAAUGUUUUGAGUCUUAGUUAUAUCGGAGAGUAGGUUUCUUUUUUCUCCUCUUCCAUGCUCUGCUGAGGUUCUCGACUUAGGAAAUCUUAAUUCUACUCCUCUUCUCGCUCAAUUUUUUUUAGGAUCACUCGGGUAUUUUGAAAUCUAUAUGAUAUCGAUGUGACGGAGUUCUGUCUUGGUGCUUCCUGUCUGCCUUGAUUUCUUCCGGGGAGUUGAGCUCCACGGGACUCUUGUGCACAUCGCCAUCAUUCAGAUUUCUGAGUAUUUCAGAACGAAGGAUGUUCUUAAUUGCUUCAAUACUAGUAGUGGCGAGAUAACCCCGAUGUCCCCGGUACUAGUGCAGAUUGUUCGGGAGUACUACCAUACUUUGUAUCAUUGUGAUCACGAGGGUCUGUGUUAGAUGAAGGUCCAAGAUUUAGGUUAUGUGUUGACGGAUGUGAUACAUUGGAUGGGUUAGUAUAGGAGUUGUGUGAAUAUUACUCCUUGUAUCCAUGUACCAGAUUGCAUGACCAGAUAUUUCGGGAAUUCAUAGGUGGGAUAUCAAGUAAUGACUUAUAGGACAAUGUUCCUACAGAUGCAUGAUGUGAGGUUGGGAUUCGACAUUCAGUGGGUACGUUUGUUCAUGGCUGUUUUACAGCGGUUCUCGUUGUUGGGGAACGUCGCAUGGGAAACAAAAAAAUUCCUACGCGCACGAAGACCUAUCAUGGUGAUGACCAUCUACGAGAGGNNNNNNNNNNNNNNNNNNNNNNNNNNNNNNNNNNNNNNNNNNNNNNNNNNNNNNNNNNNNNNNNNNNNNNNNNNNNNNNNNNNNNNNNNNNNNNNNNNNNAUGUCAAACAUCGUGAAUUGCUCAAGGAUCAUUGUAUCUAUCCUUAAUAUGUUAUAGUUCAUCACGAAGCUCUCACAGCUUGGUGGCAGUGACUUUGGAGAACCAUCACUAUCUCAUCUUCAAGAUUAACUCCCACUUGAUUCAAGCGAUUGUCGUACUCAGAUAAUCUGAGCACACGCUCAACGAUUGAGCUUUUCUCCCUUACUUUGUGGACAAAGAAUCUUGUCAGAGGUCUCGUACCUCUUAACAAGGGCACAAGCAUGAAAUCACAAUUUCAUCUCUUUAGAACAUCUCUUAUGUUCCGUGACGUUUGAAAACGUCUUCGGCGCCUUGCUUCUAAGCCAUUAAGUAUUUUUUUUACUGAACUAUCGUGUAGUCAUCAGAAACGUGUAUGUCGGAUGUUCACAGCAUCCACAGACGACGCUCGAGGUGCAGCACACCGAGUNNNNNNNNNNACUUAUGUUCCGUGACAUUUCAAAACGUCUUCGGCGCCUUGCUUCUAAGCCAUUAAGUAUUUUUGCACUGAACUAUCGUGUAGUCAUCAGAAACGUGUAUGUCAGAUGUUCACAGCAUCCACAGACGACGCUCGAGGUGCAGCACACCGAGUGGUGCAUUAAGGACAUAAGCCUUCUGUGCAGCAACGAGGACAAUCCUCGGUUUUAUAGACUCAGUCUGCAAAGUUUGCUACUAUCAACUUUCAACUAAAUUUUCUCUAGGAANNNNNNNNNNNNNNNNNNNNNNNNNNNNNNNNNNNNNNNNNNNNNNNNNNNNNNNNNNNNNNNNNNNNNNNNNNNNNNNNNNNNNNNNNNNNNNNNNNNNUCAUUUGAGUGGUACAUGAUCCAAAUCCACUAUCUCAAGUCCGAUCAUCACGUGAGUCGAGAAUAGUUUUAGUGGUAAGCAUCUCUAUGCUAAUCAUAUCAACUAUACGAUUCAUGCUCGACCUUUCGGUCUCAUAUAUUCCGAGGCCAUGUCUGCACAUGCUAAGCUCGUCAAGCUUAACCCGAGUGUUCCGCGUGUGCAACUGUUUUGCACCCGUUGUAUGUGAACGUUGAGUCUAUCACACCCGAUCAUCACGUGGUGUCUCGAAAUGAAGAACUGUCGCAACGGUGCACAGUCGGGGAGAACACAAUUUCGUCUUGAAAUUUUAGUGAGAGAUCACCUCAUAAUGCUACCGUCGUUCUAAUCAAGAUAAGGUGCGUAAAGGAUUAACAUCACAUGCAAUUCAUAAGUGACAUGAUAUGGCCAUCAUCAUGCGCUUCUUGAUCUCCAUCACUAAAGCACCGGCACGAUCUUCUUGUCACCGGUGUCACACCAUGAUCUCCAUCAACGUGCGCCAUCGGGGUUGUCGUGCUACUCAUGCUAUUACUACUAAAGCUACANNNNNNNNNNNNNNNNNNNNNNNNUCGGCGUCACACCAUGAUCUCCAUCAAUGUGUCGCCAUCGGGGUUGUCGUGCUACUCAUGCUAUUACUACUAAAGCUACANNNNNNNNNNAAUCUCCAUCGACGUGUUGCCAUCGGGGUUGUUGUGCUACUCAUGCUAUUACUACUAAAGCUACAUCCUAGCAAAAUAGUANNNNNNNNNNGAUCAUCCAUCAACGUGUUGCCAUCGGGGUUGUCGUGCUACUUAUGCUAUUACUACUAAAGCUACAUCCUAGCAAAAUAGUAAACGCAUAUGCAAGCACAAACGUUAGUAUAAAGACAACCCUAUGGCUCCUGCCGGUUGCCGUACCAUCGACAUGCAAGUCGAUAUUUAUAUUACAACAUGAUCAUCUCAUACAUCCAAUAUAUCACAUCACAUCGUUGGCCAUAUCACAUCACAAGCAUACCCUGCAAAAACAAGUUAGACGUCCUCUAAUUAUGUUGUUGCAUGUUUUACGUGGUGACCAUGGGUAUCUAGUAGGAUCGCAUCUUACUUACGCAAACACCACAACGGAGAUAUAUGAGUUGCUAUUUAACCUCAUCCAAGGACCUCCUCGGUCAAAUCCGAUUCAACUAAAGUUGGAGAAACCGUCACGUGCCAGUCAUCUUUGAGCAAAGGGGGUUACUCGUAACGAUGAAACCAGUCUCUCGUAAGCGUACGAGUAAUGUNNNNNNNNNNACACUUGCCAGUCAUCUUUGAGAAACGGAGUUACUCGUAACGAUGAAACCAGUCUCUCGUAAGCGUACGAGUAAUGUCGGUCCAAGCCACUUCAAUCCAACAAUACCGCGGUAUCAAGAAAAGACUAAGGAGGGCAGCAAAGCGCACAUCACCGCCCACAAAACCUUUUCUGUUCUACUCGAGAAGACAUCUAUGCAUGAACCUAGCUCAUGAUGCCACUGUUGGGUAACGUCGCAUGGGAAACAAAAAUUUUCCUACGCGCACGAAGACCUAUCNNNNNNNNNNNNNNNNNNNNNNNNNNNNNNNNNNNNNNNNNNNNNNNNNNNNNNNNNNNNNNNNNNNNNNNNNNNNNNNNNNNNNNNNNNNNNNNNNNNNUAUUUGAGUUAUAUGGUUGGUUACCGAAUGUUGUUCGGAGUCCCGGAUGAGAUCACGGACGUCACGAGGGUUUCCGGAAUGGUCCGGAAACGAAGGUUGAUAUAUAGGAGGGCCUCAUUUGAUAACCGGAAGGUUUUCGGAGUUACCGGGAAUGACGAAUGGGUUCCGGGAGUUCACCCGGGGGGGCAACCCACCCCAGGGAAGCCCAUAGGCCUUAAGGGUGGUGCACCAGCCCUUAGUGGGCUGGUGGGGCAGUCCAAAAGGGCCCUAUGCGCCUAGGAAAUAAAAUCAAAGAGAAAGAAAAAAAAGGAGGUGGGAAGGGAAGGAAGGACUCCCACCCACCAAACCAAGUCCANNNNNNNNNNGGGGGGGGCAACCCACCCCGGGGAAGCCCAUAGGCCUUAAGGGUGGCGCACCAGCCCUUAGUGGGCUGGUGGGGCAGCCCAAAAGGGCCCUAUGCACCUAGGAAAGAAAAUCAAAGAGAAAGAAAAAAAGGAGGAGGUGGGAAGGGAAGGAAGGACUCCCACCCACCAAACCAAGUCCAACUCGGUUUGGGGGGNNNNNNNNNNNNNNNNNNNNNNNNNNNNNNNNNNNNNNNNNNNNNNNNNNNNNNNNNNNNNNNNNNNNNNNNNNNNNNNNNNNNNNNNNNNNNNNNNNNNAGGUAAGCGGUAGUACCGCUGGCACAACAGUAGUAAAUUUUUACUACCGCUCCAGGAGCGGUACUACCGCCCCAGGUGCGGUAGUAAUUUUUUACUGCCGCUCCAGGAGCGGUACUACCGCCCUAGGUGCGGUAGUAAUUUUUUACUGCCACUCCAGGAGCGGUACUACCGCCCUAGGUGCGGUAGUAAUUUUUUACUACCGCUCCAAGGGCGGUACUACCGCNNNNNNNNNNUAGUGCGGUAGUAUUAUUUUACUACCACUCUGAUGGGCUUUUUCACAUACUUUUCCCCACGGAGGUGUUGGCACGGUAGUAUGCCGGUACUACCAUGGUUGGUGAGAAGCUGAGUGGUAGUACCGCUCUCAGGUGCGGUAGUACCGCUCUAGGUAGCGGUAGUACCGCUUGUAUUUUUAUCUGGUAGGUGGGUAACAGGUGGAUCUGCCCCCCUACUAUAUAAAGGUAUCGUCUUCUUCCUAGAGCUCACCUUUAACCUCUCUAAGCUCCAUUGUUGCUCCACAAGCUCAUUUUCGCCCGAUCUCUCUCCCUAGCCAAUCAAACUUGUUGAUUUUCUAGGGAUUGCUUGAGAAGGCCUUGAUCUACACUUCCACCAAAGGAUAUUUGAUUACCCCUACUAAUCCCUUGCGGAUCUUGUUACUCUUGGGUGUUUGAGCAUCCUAGACGGUUGAGGUCACCUCGGAGCCACAUUCCAUUGCGGUGAAGCUCCAUGGUCUUGUUGGGAGCCUCCAAGAAUUGUGUGGAGAUUGCCCCAACCUUGUUUGUAAAGGUUCGGUCGCCACNNNNNNNNNNNNNNNNNNNNNNNNNNNNNNNNNNNNNNNNNNNNNNNNNNNNNNNNNNNNNNNNNNNNNNNNNNNNNNNNNNNNNNNNNNNNNNNNNNNNUCGGUAUGUUACUUGCCCGAGAUUCGAUCGUCAGUAUCCGCAUACCUAUUUCAAUCUCAUUUAUCGGCAAGUCUCUUUACUUGUUCCGUAAUACAAGAUCCCGCAACUUACACUAAGUCACAUUGCUUGCAAGGCUUAUGUGUGAUGUUGUAUUACCGAGUGGGCCCCGAGAUACCUCUCCGUCAUACGGAGUGACAAAUCCUAGUCUCGAUCGAUACUAACUCAACGAACACCUUCGGAGAUACCUGUAGAGCAUCUUUAUAGUCACCCAGUUACGUUGCGACGUUUGGUACACACAAAGCAUUCCUCCGGUGUUAGUGAGUUAUAUGAUCUCAUGGUCAUAGGAACAAAUACUUGACACGCAGAAAAGAGUAGCAACAAAAUGACACGAUCAACAUGCUACGUCUCAUCACAUGAUUCUCCUAAUGAUGUGAUCCCGUUGUCAAGUAACAACACUUGCCUAUGGCCAGGAAACCUUGACCAUCUUUGAUCAACGAUCUAGUCAACUAGAGGCUUACUAGGGACAGUGUUUUGUCUAUGUAUCCACACAAGUAUUGUGUUCCAAUCAAUAAAAUUAUAGCAUGGAUAAUAAACAAUUAUCAUGAACAAAGAAAUAUAAUAAUAACUAAUUUUUUAUUGCCUCUAGGGCAUAUUUCCAACAGUCUCCCACUUGCACUAGAGNNNNNNNNNNGUCUCCCACUUGAACUAGAGUCAAUAAUCUAGUUCACAUCACCAUGUGAUUCCAACGAAUCCAACACCCAUAUAGUUAUGGGGUCUGAUCACGUCUUGCUCAUGAGAGAGGUUUUAGUCAACGGUUCUGUAAUUUUCAGAUCCGUGUGUUCUUUACAAAUCUUUAUGUCAUCUUAUAGAUGCUGCUACUAUGUGCUAUUCGGAAAUACUCNNNNNNNNNNNNNNNNNNNNNNNNNNNNNNNNNNNNNNNNNNNNNNNNNNNNNNNNNNNNNNNNNNNNNNNNNNNNNNNNNNNNNNNNNNNNNNNNNNNNUAACACCUUCGGAGAUACCUGUAGAGCAUCUUUAUAGUCACCCAGUUAUGUUGCGACGUUUGAUACACACAAAGCAUUCCUCUGGUGUCAGUGAGUUAUAUGAUCUCAUGGUCAUAGGAAGAAAUACUUGACACGCAGAAAACAGUACCAACAAAAUGACACGAUCAACAUGCUACGUCUAUUAGUUUGGGUCUAGUCCAUCACAUGAUUCUCCUAAUGAUGUGAUCCCGUUAUCAACUGACAACACUUGCCUAUGGCCAGGAAACCUUGGCCAUCUUUGAUCAACGAGCUAGUCAACUAGAGGCUUACUAGGGACAGUGUUUUGUCUAUGUAUCCACACAAGUAUUGUGUUCCAAUCAAUACAAUUAUAGCAUGGAUAAUAAACAAUUAUCAUGGACAAAGAAAUAUAAUAAUAACUAAUUUAUUAUUGCCUCUAGGGCAUAUUUCCAACACAAAGGUCUAUCCAAAAUUGUCGAGGGAAAAUCAUGGUUGAUGAAAAAUGACUUUGACAUAAAGCAAUGCGAAGCACCAGAAUCAAACAAGACUUUAGCAGGAAAAUCAUUGACUGAAAGGUUACCCAUAAUCACAUCUGAGGAGUUGUCUGCUUGAGCUGUGUUCACCAUAUUGACUCUAGCAGGCCUGGGGUUGAACUUCACGAUAGCAUUGCUUGGAGGUUUGCCUGGAGGAGGAGGCGGAAGACGCAGCUCAGAAGUGCACUUGUUGGCAUAGUGACCCUUCUGCCCACACUUGUGACAAGUAACAUCUACCGGAUGACGGUACUGUGUCUGAGGAGGCCCUUGCUUCUGCUGCUAAAACCUCUGCUGGAAAGCUGGGUUGGGUGGGUGGGAAGAACCACGGACACCUGAAUGCUUGAACUGCUGCGUGUGCCGAGGAGGAGGAGGAGACACCCAAUACUUGUGUUGCUUCUGAACCACCUGAGUUGAGGAAGACGAGCUGGAAUCUCUGAAGCGCUUCUUUGAAUUCUCCACCCUGAGCAAUGCUUCCUCAGCCCCGAGAGUCAAGUUGUAGAACUUAUUGAACUCCUCCGGAUCGUGCAAAGCGAGAGCUAGCUGCAAAUCCUCUUACAAACCACCUCUGAACUGAUAAAUCUUGCUCUUCUGAUCCGGAAUAUACUGCAAGGCAUAUCGGGCUAGCUCGUGGAACUCGACGUUGUACUUGUACACGCAGUUACCACCUUGCUUCAAGCGCCUGAACUUCUAACGCAUCUCCUCCACAAAGCUAGACGAGAUGUAGUGGGACCUGAAGUCUUUGCAGAACUCAUCCCAAGUGAUCACUCUAGCACCCCUGGAAUCCUUCAAUUGCUGCCACAAGAUCGAUGCUUGCCCCUUCAGCUGGAAUGUUGCAAACUUGACGAAAUCCUCUGGACGGACAUUGCUACACUCAAAGUGCUUGUUCAUGUCGCGAAUCCAAUCCUCAGCAUGAAACGGCUGGUCACACGAAGUGAAGGUCUUCGUCUGAUUUGACAGGAACUAACUCAUAUUAGCAAACUGAUUGCCACCAUGAUUGAAGUUGCCUUGCUAUUGAUUAGUCCUCUCAUGCAACAACUGUAUCAGCAUCUGAGUGCUUGCAUUUGUAGCAGCCAUCACCGCUUGCCAAGCCUCUGCAGGAGGAGGCGGCGACGGAGGAGGAUUUUCUGGAGGAGGGGGUGGUGGUGGCAUGUCACACCCUCACGACCUGGAUUCUGACGAGUUGGUGGAGCCAUCUUGAAGACGGACAACACAUUAGCCCACAAAAUAAUUGAAGGUAUAGCUGAAUCAAAAAGGCAGGAAUAUCUGAACAGGAAUAUAGCAAUUGCACUCGAACAAAAUAGUAAGAAUGCUUCCUCAAAGUGACUGUCGACAAAAUUCUAAUUAAGACCACUUGUAAACAAGUAUGAGCUAGAACUGCUCGGAACAGACAUAUGAUCGAGAUUUCAUCCGAUAUCUUCAUGGAUAAGAUCGCACGGGCUCGAAUUUACAGUAGCCAUCCUGUGCAAGGUAGUGUACACGACUUACGAAGUAUCCCCGAGUCGUAGAAAGCUACAAGGACUCUUUAAGACACAACGAGUGUUGGAAUUAUGCCCUAGAGGCAAUAAUAAAUAUAGUUAUUAUUAUANNNNNNNNNNNNNNNNNNNNNNNNNNNNNNNNNNNNNNNNNNNNNNNNNNNNNNNNNNNNNNNNNNNNNNNNNNNNNNNNNNNNNNNNNNNNNNNNNNNNAAGGUUCGACGUUGUUUUAUGCGUAUUUGAGUUAUAUGGUUGGUUACCAAAUGUUGUUCGGAGUUCCGGAUGAGAUCACGGACGUCACGAGGGUUUUCGGAAUGGUCCAGAAACGAAGAUUGAUAUAUAGGAUGACCUCAUUUGAAUGACGAAUGGGUUCCGNNNNNNNNNNUGUAUUUGAGUUAUAUGGUUGGUUACCGAAUGUUGUUCGGAGUUCCGUAUGAGAUCACGGACGUCACGAGGGUUUCCGGAAUGGUCCGGAAAUGAAGAUUGAUAUAUAGGAUGACCUCAUUUGAAUGACGAAUGGGUUCCGGGAGUUCACCGGGGGGGGCAACCCACCCUCGGGAAGCCCAUAGGCCUUGAGGGUGGCACACCAGCCCUUAGUGGGCUGGUGUGACAGCCCAAGAGGGCCCUAUGUGCCUAGAGAAGAAAAUCAAGGAGAAAAGAAAAAAAAAAGGAGGUGGGAAGGGAAGGAAGGACUCCCUCCCACCAAACCAAGUCCAAGUCGGUUUGAGGGGGGGAACCUUCCCCCUUGGACUCGGCCGACCCCCUUGGGGCUCCUUGAGCCCAAAGGCAAGGUCCCCUCCCUCCCACCUAUAUAUACGGAGGUUUUAGGGCUGAUUUGAGAAGACUUUUCCACGGCAGCCCGACCACAUACCUCCACGGUUUUUCCUCUAGAUCGCGUUUCUGCAGAGCUCGGGCGGAGCCCUGCUGAGACAAGGUCAUCACCAACCUCCGGAGCGCCGUCACGCUGCCGGAGAACUCUUCUACCUCUCCGACUCUCUUGUUGGAUCAAGAAGGCCGAGAUCAUCGUCGAGCUGUACGUGUGUUGAACGUGGAGGUGCCGUCCGUUCGGUACUAGAUCGUGGGACUGAUCGCGGGAUAGUUCGCGGGGCGGAUCGAGGGACGUGAGGACAUUCCACUACAUCAACCGCGUUUACUAACGCUUCUGCUGUAUGAUCUACAAGGGUACGUAGAUCACUCAUCCCCUCUCGUAGAUGGACAUCACCAUGAUAGGUCUUCGUGCGCGUAGGAAAAUUAUUGUUUCCCAUGCGACGUUACCCAACACAUUGGACCACACACAUCAGUAUGUAUUAUUUCCAAUAAGUCGGUUGCUCUCUCCAUUAUUUGUGAGAAUGGAGUCUUAGUCAUCUUGCCCAUGAGGCACGGUUCGCAUCUGUCAAAUGAUUCAAAGUCAAGAGACUCUAAUAGUCCAUUAGUAUGGAGCUUCUUCAUGCGCUUAACGCCAAUAUGACCAAGGCGGUAGUGCCACAAGUAUGUGGGACUAUCAUUAUCAACUUUACAUCUUUUGGUACUCACACUAUGAAUAUGCGUAACAUCACGAUCGAGAUUCAUCAAGAAUAAACCAUUCACCAGCAGAGCAUGACCAUAAAACAUAUCACUCAUAUAAAUAGAACAACCAUUAUUCUCUGACUUCAAUGAGUAGCCGUCUCGCAUUAAGCAAGACCCUGAUACAAUGUUCAUGCUUAAAUCUGGUACUAAAUAACAAUUAUUAAGGUUUAAAACUAAUUCGACGGUAGAUGUAGAGGUAACGUGCCGAUGGUGAUCACAUCGACCUUGGAGCCAUUCCCGACGCGCAUCGUCAUCUCGUCCUUUGCCAGUCUCCGCUUAUUCAGCAGUUCCUGCUUUGAGUUGAAAAUGUGAGCAACAACACCGGUAUCAAAUAUCCAGGAGCUACUACGAGCGCUGGCAAGGUACACAUCAAUAACAUGUAUAUCACAUAUACCUUUAAUGUUGCCGGCCUUCUUGUCCGCUAAGUAUUUGGGGCAGUUCCGCUUGCAGUGACCCUUUCCCUUGCAACAGAAGCUCUCNNNNNNNNNNNNNNNNNNNNNNNNNNNNNNNNNNNNNNNNNNNNNNNNNNNNNNNNNNNNNNNNNNNNNNNNNNNNNNNNNNNNNNNNNNNNNNNNNNNNUUGCUACAGUUCGUCGUUUCGAGACACCACGUGAUGAUCGGGUGUGAUAGACUCAAUGUUCACAUACAACGGGUGCAAAACAGUUGCGCACGCAGAACACUCGGAUUAAGCUUGACGAGCCUAGCAUGUGCAGACAUGGCCUCGGAACACAUGAGACCGAAAGGUCGAUCAUGAAUCAUAUAGAUGAUAUGAUUAGCAUAGGGAUGCUUACCACUGAAACUAUACUCAACUCACGUGAUGAUCGGACUUGAGCUAGUGUAAGUGGAUCAUGAACCACUCAAAUGAAAAGAGAGAUGUACUUUUUGAGUGGGAGUUUAGCGAAUAAUUUGAUUAAGUUAAACUCUAAUUAUCUUGAACAUAGUCUAAGUCCACUUUGAAUAUAUUUGUGUUGUAGAUCAUGGCUCACGCGACAGUCACCCUGAAUUUUAAUAUGUUCCUAGAGAAAGCUAAGUUGAAAGAUGAUGGAAGCAACUUUGUAGACUGGGCUCGUAAUCUUAAGCUAAUCUUACAAGUUGGGAAGAAGGAUUAUGUCCUUAAUGCUGCGCUAGGAGAUGAACCACCCGCUACGGCUGAUCAGGAUGUUAAGAACGCUUGGUUAGCACGUAAGGAGAACUACUCAAUAGUUCAAUGUGCAGUCUUGUAUGGCUUAGAACCGGGACUUCAACGUCGCUUUGAGCGUCAUGGAGCAUUUGAGAUGUUCCAGGAGUUGAAGUUUAUCUUUCAGAAGAACGCCCGGAUCGAGAGGUAUGAGACCUCCGAUAAAUUCUAUGCUUGCAAGAUGGAGGAAAACUCGUCUGUCAGUGAACAUGUGCUCAAAAUGUCUGGGUACCCAAACCGUCUAGCUGAGCUGGGGAUUGAACUCCCGCAAGAGGCUAUCACUGACAGAAUCCUUGAAUCACUGCCGCCAAGCUAUAAAGGCUUUGUGUUGAACUACAACAUGCNNNNNNNNNNGAACUCGUCUGUCAGUGAACAUGUGCUCAAAAUGUCUGGGUACUCAAACCGUCUAGCUGAGCUGGGGAUUGAACUCCCGAAGAGGCUAUCACUGACAAAAUCCUUCAAUCACUGCCGCCAAGCUAUAAAGGCUUUGUGUUGAACUACAACAUGCNNNNNNNNNNACCCGGCGAGUUGUUUGCGAUGCUGAAAGUCGCAGAGUCUGAACUCCAUAAAGAACAUCAAGUGUUGAUGGUGAAUAAGACCACUAGUUUCAAGAGAAACGGCNNNNNNNNNNUCCCGGCGAGUUGUUUGCGAUGCUGAAAGUCGCAGAGUCUGAACUCCGUAAAGAGCAUCAAGUGUUGAUGGUGAAUAAGACCACUAGUUUCAAGAGAAACGGCAAAGGCAAGAAGGAUAAUUCAAAGAAGAGCAGCAAGCCUGUUGCCAAUCCGACGAAGAAACCCAAAGCUGGACCUAAGCCUGAAACGGAGUGUUACUAUUGCAAGGGUAUGGGUCACUGGAAGCGCAAUUGCCCCAAGUAUCUGGCAGAUAAGAAGGCGGCCAAAGAAAAAUCAGGUAUAUUUGAUAUACAUGUUAUUUAUGUGUACUUAANNNNNNNNNNNNNNNNNNNNNNNNNNNNNNNNNNNNNNNNNNNNNNNNNNNNNNNNNNNNNNNNNNNNNNNNNNNNNNNNNNNNNNNNNNNNNNNNNNNNGUCUCUCGUAAGCGUACGAGUAAUGUCGGUCCAAGCCGCUUCAAUCCAACAAUACCGCGGAAUCAAGAAAAGACUAAGGAGGGCAGAAAAACGCACAUCACCGCCCACAAAAACUUUUGUGUUCUACUCGAGAAGACAUCUACGCAUGAACCUAGCUCAUGAUGCCACUGUUAGGGAACGUCGCAUGGGAAAAAAAAUUCCUACGCGCAUGAAGACCUAUCAUGGUGAUGUCCAUCUACGAGAUGGGAUGCGUGAUCUACGUACCCUUGUAGACCAUACAGCAGAAGCGUUAGUGAACGCGGUUGAUGUAGUGGAACGUCCUCACGUCCCUUGAUCCGCCCCGCGAUCGUCCCGCGAUCAGUCCCACGAUCUAGUGCCGAACGGACGGCACCUCCGCGUUCAGCACACAUACAGCUCGACAAUGAUCUCGGCCUUCUUGAUCCAGCAAGAGAGACAGAGAGGUAGAUGAGUUCUCCGGCAGUGUGACGGCGCUCCGGAGGUUGGUGGUGAUCUUAUCUCAGCAGGGCUCCGCCCGAACNNNNNNNNNNAAUGAUCUCGGCCUUCUUGAUCCAGCAAGAGAUACGGAGAGGUAGAUGAGUUCUCCGGCAGUGUGACGGUGCUCCGGAGGUUGGUGGUGAUCUUAUCUCAGCAGGGCUCCGCCCGAACUCCGCAGAAACGUGAUCUAGAGGUAAAACCGUGUAGAAUGUGGUCGGGCUGCCGUGGCGAAGUUGUCUCAAAUCAGCCCUAAUACCUCAGUAUAUAUAGGAGGGAGGGAGGGGAGGAGGCAGCCUCAAACCCUCAAGGUUUGGCCGAAAUUUGAGGUGGAGGAGUCCUACUCCAAUCCUACUUGGAGUAGGAUUCCACCUUCCCACUUGGAAACUCUUUCCACCUUGUGUUUUUCCCUUCUCAAACCUUAUGGGCCUUAGUGGGAACUUAUUCCAGCCCACUAGGCGCUAGUUUAUCUCUUCCCAUAGCCCAUUAGACCCCUUGGGGCGUGACACCCCUCUCGAUGGUCCCCGUCACCCCUCCCGGCACUCCCGGUACACUACCGAUGAGCCCGAAACUUCUCCGGUAAUGCCCGGAAACUUUCCGGUAACCAAAUGAGGUCAUCCUAUAUAUCAAUAUUCGUCUCCGGACCAUUCCAAAAACCCUCGUGACGUCCGUGAUCCCAUCCGGGACUCCGAACAACAUUCGGUAACCAACCAUAUAACUCAAAUACGCAUAAAUCAUCGUCGAACCUUAAGUGUGCAGACCCCGCGGGUUCGAGAACUAUGUACACAUGACCCGAGUGACUCCUCGUUCAAUAUCCAAUAGCGGGACCUGGAUGCCCAUAUUGGAUCCUACAUAUNNNNNNNNNNUCGUCGAACCUUAAGUGUGCAGACCCGCGGGUUCGAGAACUAUGUAGACAUGACCCGAGUGACUCCUCGGUCAAUAUCCAAUAGCGGGACCUGGAUGCCCAUAUUGGAUCCUACAUAUUCUACGAAGAUCUUAUCGUUUGAACCUCAGUGCCAAGGAUUCAUAUAAUCCCGUAUGUCAUUCCCUUUGUCCUUCGGUAUGUUACUUGCCCGAGAUUCGAUCGUCAGUAUCCGCAUACCUAUUUCAAUCUCAUUUAUCGGCAAGUCUCUUUACUCGUUCUGUAAUACAAGAUACCGCAACUUACACUAAGUCACAUUGCUUGCAAGGCUUGUGUGUGAUGUNNNNNNNNNNNNNNNNNNNNNNNNNNNNNNNNNNNNNNNNNNNNNNNNNNNNNNNNNNNNNNNNNNNNNNNNNNNNNNNNNNNNNNNNNNNNNNNNNNNNCAAGCAAUUUCAGAGUGAAGUUGAAAAUCAUCGUAACAAGAAGAUCAAAUUCCUACGGUCUGAUCGUGGGGGUGAAUAUCUGAGUUUCGAGUUUGGUGCUCACUUAAGACAAUGUGGAAUUGUUUCACAGUUAACACCGCCUGGAACACCACAUCGUAAUGGUGUGUCCGAACGUCGUAAUCGUACUUUAUUAGAGAUGGUGCGAUCUAUGAUGUCUCUUACCGAUUUGCCGUUAUCGUUUUGGGUUAUGCAUUAGAAACAGCUACAUUCACUUUCAAUAGGGCACCAUCAAAAUCCGUUGAGACAACACCAUACGAACUGUGGUAUGGCAAAAGGCCAAAGUUGUCGUUUCUUAAAGUUUGGGGAUGUGAUGCUUAUGUCAAAAAGCUUCAGCCUGAAAAGCUGGAACCCAAAGCGGAAAAGUGUGUCUUCAUAGGUUACCCAAAAGAGACAUUUGGGUACACCUUCUAUCUCAAAUCCGAGGGCAAAGUGUUUGUUGCUAAAAAUGGAGCUUUUCUCUAGAAGGAGUUUCUCUCGAGAGAAUUGAGUGGGAGGAAGAUAGAACUUGACGAGGUUGUCGAACCUCUCAUCCCUCUGGAUGGUGGCGCAGGGCAAGGGGAAACCUCUAUCGUUGCGAUGCCGGUUGAGGAGGAAGUUAAUGAUGAUGAUCAUGAAACUCCGGUUCANNNNNNNNNNACAGGUCAAGGGGAAACCUCUGUCGUUGCAACGCCGGUUGAGGAGGAAGUUAAUGAUGAUGAUCAUGAAACUCCGGUUCAAGUUUCUGUCGAACCACGCAGGUCGACGAGAACACGUGCUGCUCCAGAGUGGUACGGUAAUCCCGUCUUAUCAAUCAUGUUGUUAGACAACAAUGAACCUGCAAAUUAUGAAGAAGCAAUGGUGGGCCCAGAUUCCAACAAAUGGCUAGAAGCCAUGAAGUCCGAGAUAGGAUCCAUGUAUGAGAACAAAGUGUGGACUUUGGAGGUACNNNNNNNNNNCCACGUGCUGCUCCAGAGUGGUACGGUAAUCCCGUCUUGUCAAUCAUGUUGUUGUACAACAAUGAACCUGCAAAUUAUGAAGAAACAAUGGUGGGCCUAGAUUCCAACAAAUGGCUAGAAGCCAUGAAGCCGAGAUAGGAUCCAUGUAUGAGAACAAAGUGUGGACUUUGGAGGUACUGCCUAAAGGCCGCAAGGCUAUUCAGAACAAAUGGAUCUUUAAGAGGAAGACGGACGCUGACGGCAAUGUGACCGUUUAUAAAGCUCGACNNNNNNNNNNACCUGAGGGCCGCAAGGCUAUUCAGAACAAAUGGAUCUUUCAGAGGAAGACGGACGCUGACGGCAAUGUGACCGUUUAUAAAGCUCGACUUGUGGCAAAGGGUUUUUCACAAGUUCAAGGAGUUGACUACGAUGAGACAUUCUCACCCGUAGCGAUGCUUAAGUCCGUCAGAAUCAUGUUAGCAAUAGCUGCAUUUUUCGAUUAUGAAAUCUGGCAGAUGGAUGUCAAAACGGCGUUCCUUAACGGUUUCCUUAAGGAAGAGUUGUAUAUGAUACAACCCGAAGGUUUUGUCGAUCCUAAGAAUGCUAACAAGGUGUGCAAGCUCCAGCGAUCCAUUUAUGGACUGGUGCAAGCAUCUCGGAGUUGGAACAAAUGCUUUGAUGAGGUGAUCAAAGCAUUUGGGUUUAUACAAGUGGUUGGAGAANNNNNNNNNNGUCUUGGAGUUGGAACAAACGUUUUGAUGAGGUGAUCAAAGCAUUUGGGUUUAUACAAGUGGUUGGAGAAUCUUGUAUUUACAAGAAAGUGAGUGGGAGCUCUGUGGCGUUUCUAAUAUUAUAUCUGGAUGACAUAUUGCUGAUUGGAAACAACAUAGAGUUUUUGGAGAGCAUAAAGGAUUACUUGAAUAAAAGUUUCUCUAUGAAGGACCUAGGAGAAGUUGCUUACAUUCUAGGCAUUAAGAUCUAUAGGGAUAGAUCAAAACGCCUGAUAGGACUUUCACAAAGCACAUACCUUGAUAAAGUUUUGAAGAGGUUCAAAAUGGAACAGUCCAAGAAAGGGUUCUUGCCAGUUUUACAAGGUACGAAAUUGAGUAAGACUCGGUGCCCAGCAACUGAUGAAGAUAGAGAGCAUAUGCGCUCCGUCCCCUAUGCUUCAGCCAUAGGUUCUAUCAUGUAUGCAAUGUUGUGCACUAGACCGGAUGUUAGCCUGGCCAUAAGUAUGGCGGGUAGGUUCCAGAGUAAUCCAGGAGUGGAUCACUGGACAACGGUCAAGAAUAUCCUGAAGUACCUGAAAAGGACUAAGNNNNNNNNNNNNNNNNNNNNNNNNNNCCAGGAGUGGAUCACUGGACGGCGGUCAAGAAUAUCCUGAAGUACCUGAAAAGGACUAAGGAGAUGUUUCUCGUAUAUGGAGGUGACGAAGAGCUCGCCGUAAAAGCUUACGUCGAUGCAAGCUUUGACACAGAUCCGGACAACUCUAAGUUGCAAACCGGAUACGUAUUUAUUCUUAAUGGGGGUGCGGUAAGUUGGUGCAGUUCCAACCAAAGGGUCGUAGCAGAUUCUACAUGUGAAGCAGAGUACAUGGCUGCCUCGGAGGCGGCAAAGGAGGGUGUCUGGAUGAAGCAAUUCAUGACGGAUCUUGGAGUGGUGCCAAGCGCACUGAAUCCAAUAACCUUGUUCUGUGACAACACGGGUGCCAUUGCCUUAGCAAAGGAACCACGGUUUCACAAGAAUACCAGACACACCAAACGACGCUUCAACCUCAUCCGCGACUACGUCGAGGGAGAGGACGUAAAUAUAUGCAAAGUGCACACGGAUCUGAAUGUAGCAGACCCGCUGACUAAACCUCUUCCACGGCCAAAGCAUGAUCAACACCAGAACUGUAUGGGUGUUAGAUUUAUUACAAUUUAAUUCACAUGAUGAUGUGAGGGCUAGAUUAUUGGCUCUAGUGCAAGUGGGAGACUGUUGGAAUUAUGCCCUAGAGGCAAUAAUACAUAUAGUUAUUAUUAUAAUUCUUGUAUCAAGAUAAUCGUUUAUUAUCCAUGCUAUAAUUGUAUUGAAUGANNNNNNNNNNNNNNNNNNNNNNNNNNNNNNNNNNNNNNNNNNNNNNNNNNNNNNNNNNNNNNNNNNNNNNNNNNNNNNNNNNNNNNNNNNNNNNNNNNNNAUAUUGACCGAGGAGUCACUCGGGUCAUGGCUACAUAGUUCUCAAACCCGCAGGGUCUGCACACUUAAGGUUCGACGUUGUUUUAUGCGUAUUUGAGUUAUAUGGUUGGUUACCGAAUGUUGUUCGGAAUCCCGGAUGAGAACACGAACGUCACGAGGGUUUCCGGAAUGGUCCGGGAACAAAGAUUGAUAUAUAGGAUGACCUCAUUUGAUUAUCGGAAGGUUUUCGGAGUUACCGGGAAUGACGAAUGGGUUCCGGGUGUUCAUCGGGGGGGGGGGGCAACCCACCCCGGGGAAGCCCAUAGGCCUUGGGGGUGGCGCACCAGCCCUUGGUGGGCUUGUGGGACAGCCCAAGAAGGCCCUAUGCGCCAAGGAUAGAAAAUCAAAGAGAAAAGAAAAAAAAGAGGUGGGAAAGGAGAGAAGGACUCCACUUUCCAAUCCUAGUUGGACUAGGAUUGGAGGAGGACUCCUCCUCCCUUGGUGGCGCAGCCCUUGGGGCUCCUUGAGCCUCAAGGCAAGCCUCCCCUCCCUCCUCCUAUAUAUAUGGAGCAAUUAGGGCUGUUUUGUGACAACUUUUAAGGCAGCCCGACCACAUACCUCCACGGUUUUACCUCUAGAUCGCGUUUCUGCGGAGCUCGGGUGGAGCCCUGCUGAGAUUAGAUCACCACCAAUCUCCGGAGCACCGUCACGCUGCUGGAGAACUCAUCUACCUNNNNNNNNNNNNNNNNNNNNNNNNNNNNNNNNNNNNNNNNNNNNNNNNNNNNNNNNNNNNNNNNNNNNNNNNNNNNNNNNNNNNNNNNNNNNNNNNNNNNNNNNNNNNNNNNNNNNNNNNNNNNNNNNNNNNNNNNNNNNNNNNNNNNNNNNNNAAGGCCGAGAUCAUCGUCGAGCUGUACGUGUGCUGAACGCGGAGGUGCCGUCCGUUCGGCACUAGAUCGUGGGACGAAUCGCGGGACGGUUCAUGGGACGGUUCCUGGGGCGGAUCGAGGGACGUGAGGACNUUCCACUACAUCAACCGCGUUCACUAACGCUUCUGCUGUGCGAUCUACAAGGGUAUGUAGAUCAGAAAUCCCCUCUCGUAGAUGGACAUCACCAUGAUAGGACUUCGUGCGCGUAGGAAAUUUUUUGUUUCCCAUGCGAUGUUCCCAACACCUAUAGCCGGUAAUAAUCCUUUCUGGGAUUAGUUCAUCCUUAUCAUUAGGAACGACGGUGAUACCUCCCUUCUUAGGUACGCAAUGUACUCGACUUACCCAAUCUGACAGCCCGAUGCCGACGUUCCAGAAGAUUCUCCUUCUAUUCCGUUUUCGUCGUGUGGGUAUUUUUAUUUGUCGCAUCAUCAUCGCAUCAUUCGUAUCAUCAGCAUUGCAUCGGCAUCCUGUUGCCGCCAGUUUUUGAAAACUUGCAUCCGUUGUUAGUUGUCGGUUCACGUCGUUGUCCGUUCUGAGCCCGACCGCACUCGCACGCGCCCGCGGCAUCGUUCGAAACCCUGUUUUAAAAGUGUGCAUAAAACUUUCUCUGAUCGGGUUGAGAUUUGACGUGCGGUGUUAUAUUAAUAUAGCUAGGCCGCCCGUCGAAUUUCGUCGCGAUCGGAGUUCCUCUGGUACCCGAACGGUCGACCGUAGCGGCACUGUAUUCGGUCUACCGUCGGACGUUUGUCGGUGUUUUAAAAUUGCGUUGCCGCGCCGCCCGUUUUCCCUCUCGUCUCCGGAUAACCGCUCUACACUGCCCACAAGUUCCACCUAGCCACUUCCUCAGUUCGUGGUACUCGAAUCGCGAUUGGACGGACGGGGUCCACCCCACCGGAGACCAACCCUAUAAGUAGCACCCCCUAGAGAGGCCUCUCUCACUUCACUAGGGUUCCGGCUAGUCGUUUUUGCAGCCAACCCCCCUAGAAAUCCCCACCUACUAGCCCACACCCUUCAAAUCCCGCAGCCCAAGCUCCAUAGCCUUUCUCAGCCUUCGGAUCUAAGAUAUAGGGCUCAGAUUCGUCCAAAUCCCCACCUACCGGACGACCACAGGAGAUUCAUGCCUUGGCCAGCUCUUCCCGAGCUCCGCCCAUGGCAGCAGCCACCCGAUGCCCUCGCUCCUGCGCCCGUAGCUGGCCUCGCCCCAUCGUCGUGCUCUGCCCGCCGGCCAUGGCUGCCGCCUCGCCGCCACCCUCGUUCCCGGCGAGUUCCUGACCGCCUCCUGCCACAUCCCGCAUGCAGUAGGAUCCCAACCUCCGGGAAGCGCCGCCGCACCAGCCUCCCGUCGUCGUGUCCGUUUGGUGUCGCCGUCGUGUGGAUCCGGAGCAGACUGGCCGGAUCUGUCCGAUCCCGGCUGUGGCAAGCUCGCCAACGCCCGAUGCCAUCGCCGUUGACCUGCCUCGCCGCUCUUUCCUCCCGCUCGGGAACGAGCAGGGAGGCCCUGCAGCUCCCGUGUCGCCAGCGCUAGGAGGGCCACGCGAGCGCUCUGCCCCGUGGGCCGCUUGGACCACCAGGCGCCUCAGCCAGCGCCUCCUCCUGGCCCAGCUCGCCCCGUCCGCGAGGCCCAGGCCAGCGCCUCGGCCUGCCUCCUCCUCUCCAGGCCUGCCAACGCCCUAGGCCCAAGGUGAGAACCCCCCUGAUCCUCUAUUCUUCGCCCAUGUGCUGAUUUGUUAUCAUGCGCCCGUGUACUGUUCGGCCCAUUAGGGAUUUAGGAUGUUUUAGGAAUUUAUAAUUCCAGAAAAUAGGCAUAUAUUACAUCGCCCGUAGUUUUAAAUCCGUAAGUCGGAUCGCGACAUAUUGUAUAUGGUUUUGGGGCAGUUUUUGCGAGUAGAACACGAUUUCACAACUUGCAAAUUUGUUUGGCGUCGUUUAGCGCAUCGUAUGCCUAGAGUAACGUGUUGUUUAAAUAGGAUACAUACCGUAUUUAUUUAUUUUUCUUGCGGUCCGGAUUGCUCAAGUACCUUAGAUAAAAUUCCUAUGUUUUAGGGACCAUUUUUCCAUGUAUUUUAGAUCAGUCAUUUGUAUUUUUGCGUGUAGGGAUUGCCGCUAGUUUAUUCUCCCGUGUAUAGGUUAUUUUCUCGCAUUUAAGUGUCGCGAUAUUUUUGUGUGUCAAUUAGUUUUAGCUUUUGAGGAAAUUAGUUCGCGCGAUAUUUGGUCAUGUUGCCCUCUUGUCUUUUCCGUAGGAUUUAUUCCGUAUUUCGUUUGAUUAAGUUGUCAACUAGGGAGUUGUUCUUGUGUGUUUACUCUAGCCCCUGGUAUUUUUGGUUGCCAUAGAAAUGCAUGUGUAGGUGUGGUUUGCUUGCUCUCAAGUUGCUUGAAAUAGUGCUGAUUUGGACGUGCUGAAAUAAUUCUAAGUCUGGAAUCUGUUAUAUUUUGUUGGUGUCUUGUCUUGCUUGUAUCUUAUGAUCUGCAGCUCUUUUGAGGUUGGUCCAAUGGAGUUAGUUGAAGCCCUUGUGUUUCUCUAGCAUUCUGUGAAGUUUCAUGCUAUUUAGAGUCCUGUAGCUUAUGGUUUUGCUGCUGUCAAUAUGGCUUCAGAUCGAAAACUGCACUUUCAUGGGGUGUAAUUUUCACUAAGUCUGAAAUAGUGUGUGGGAUGCCAUUUUGUGUCUUCUUUCCCUAGUGAUCCAUGAUGCCAUGCUAGUUAUUGUUAGUUGUUUGUAGUAGUGCUUCUUGCCCUCUUUCGUGUCAUGCCUUGCUUGAGUUUAUCGGAGUUUUGUAGCCGUAGUUGUGGGGCGUAGAAAAUGCUAUGUGGCUGAUUUUGGCAGAUUGUAGUCAUUUCUUGUUUUGCUCGUAGUUUUUUGAACCGUAGCUCGGAUUUGAUCGUGUCCUACAUGAAACUUGCUUAGAAUCUCGUGUAGUUUCUUUUUCCCUUGCUGGUUGUAUGUUUUGAAGUGCUCGUGACCGCUGUCGCACACAUAUUGCAUUCAUGCCAUCAUAUCUUGCGGUGCUUGUAACUUUUGAUCCGUAGCUCCGUUGGAGAUGUUCUCUACAUGUUGAUUGCUUGAAAUGACGCGUAGAAUCACGUGAACCUAUUUGUUUUGCUGUUUAACAACUAUUUAAAUGUGUUAGUUCAGAUCUGGACAGAAUCGUAAAUUAACAUGUGAGGUCGUCUCGGAGGUUCUAUAUGUCAUUUCCGACCUCAUUUAAAAUGCCUAGAUAAGUAGUUUAAUUACGCUUCACCUCUUGCCAUGUUUAAUCACAUUUAAUAUUGCCGUGUAUCUAAUCGGGAUAGAACUAAAUAAUUAAACAUGGAGUUUCGUCAAUAUGCAACUCGUUGCAUAUUGAACUUCACUUAAUGUGUAGUGUUUGAUUGUGUGGAUUGUCAUGCCGUGUCUUGCAUGUAUUCAGCCGCUCAUGCAUCAUUUGUGUUGUGCAUCGUGUGGUGAAUAUCUUGUGUUGAUUUGUGUUUCCGGUUUGCUCCGUCUCGAUAGAGUUCCGCAAGCGUGUCGGAUGUGAGGACCUGUUCGACUACGUCGGUUCGUCUGCUUCACGGAGGCAUUCUUCUUCCAAGCGGGAUCUCAGGCAAGAUGUUCAUUUCCCCAUAUACCAUUACUAUCAUUGUCAUGCUAGUUUUAUUGUUUCUACCGUUUAUGUCUCGUUGCCUACCACAUGUUAAAUAUCAGCCUCUCAACAAUGCCAUGAAACCUUCAACCUGUUCAACCUAGCAAACCACUGAUUGGCUAUGUUACUGCUUGCUUAACCAUGUUGUUAGAGUUGCUAGUUGCAGGUGCAUUGCUUCCAUGUGAAAGCAUGGGUUCCUUGUUAUAUCACCAUAUUACUGCUAUUUAAUUUAAUGCACCUAUAUACUUGGUAAAAGGUGGAAGGCUCGGCCUUUCUAGCCUGGUGUUUUGUUCCACCUUUGCCCCCUUAGUUUUCGGCUACCGGUGCUAUGUUCCAUAAAUGAGCGCUCCUAACACGGUCGGGGUUGUUAUGGGGACCCCCUUGAUAAUUCGUUUUAGAUUAAGACUGGUCUCGCAAGGCCCAACUUUGGUACUACAUUUGCCUAAACACCUAAUAAAAUUGCAUAGGGACUUUCCGGACCCCGAGGAUAAUUUAAUCAACCCCCGGGCGAGUGCUCCUCAUGAGUGUUGGUCCAAAUUGGCAGACUACGGGGCCACCGCGGGGAAACCCGAGGUUUGGUUCUACUAGUGUGACCCAUCCGUCGUGUCCUGAGAACGAGGUACGCGACUCCUAUCGGGAUCGUCGACACGUCGGUCGGCCUUGCUGGAUUAGUUUUACCUUUGACAGAAUAUCUUGUGCAUCGGGAUUCUGGUGAUGCUUUGGAUAAUCUCAGAGUUGAGGUUUUUCACUAGGGAAUCCGACGAGAUCGUGAGCUUCGUGAUUCAGGAUUUCUAUGCGGCUUGUGGUAAUUUGUGAUGAACUAGUUGGAGCACCCCUGCAGGGUUAAAUAUUUCGGAAAGCCGUGCCCGCGGUUAUGUGGCAACGUGGAAACUUUGUUUAACACUGGUUCUAGAUAACUCAAAGUUAAUUAAUUAAAAUAUGCCAACUGUGUGCGUAACCGUGACUGUUUCUUUCGUGAGUUCCUUCUCCGAUCGAGGACACGGUGGGGUUAUGUCUGACGUAGGUAGGUGUUCAGGAUCAUUCAUUUGAUCAUCUGUAGUUCACGUCCGCUAUGCGUAGAUCUUUCCCCUCUUACUUCUUGUACUCGUAAGUUAGCCACCAAAUAUAUGCUUAGCCGCUGCUGCAACCUCACCACUUAACCUUACCUCACCCAAUAAGCUUUGCUAGUCUUGAUACCUUUGGAAAUGAGAUUGCUGAGUCCCCUGUGGCUCACAGAUUACUACAACACUAGUUGCAGGUACAGGUAAAGGUUACUUGACGCGAACGCGUUGAUUGUUCAUUUGGAGUUGCUUCUUCUGCUUCUUCUUCAUCGAUCUAGGAUGGGUUCCAGGCCGGCAGCCUGGGAUAGCAAGGAUGGACGUCGUUCUUCUUUUCUCGUUUGUUUUCGUCUGUAGUCGGACCCUGCUUUUACUCUUAAUGAUUAUGUAAUGUACUGAUGUGACUCUGAUGUAGCUUGUGGCGAGUGUAAGCCAAUUCUAUUAUAUAUCUCUUCUUUUCAGUACAUGUACUUGUAACGAUAUCCAUUCUUGCGACACGACGAGAUGCGCUUCUAUCCUUGAUGAGGCCUUCGUGCCAAAUUGAGGAUAGGGUCGCAUCUUGGGCGUGGCAAGUUGGUAUCAGAGCAGUACCGGCCUAGGAGCCCCUUGAUUGAUCAAACAUGGCCGAGUCGAGUCUAGUGAAAAAAUACUUUGAGUCAAGUUAUAUAUCGAAGAGUAGGAUUCUUUUUUCUCCUCUUCUAUGCUUUGGUGAGGAAUCUUGACGUAAUAAUUUACUCUACUCCUCUUCUCAUUCUAUUUUUUUUAGGAUCACGCGGAUAUUUUUGGAAUCUAUAUGUUGGAGAUGUGACGGAGUUCUGUCUUGGUGCCUCCUAUCUGCUUUGAGUUUCAGGGGAGUUGAGCUCCAGGGGAUUCUUGAGCACAUCAUUAUCAUUCAGAUUUCUUAGUAUCUCAGAACGAAGGAUGUUCAUAAUUGCUUCAAUACUAGUAGUGGCGAGAUAACCCCGAUGUCCCCAGUACUCGUGCAGAUUGUUCGGGAGUACUGCCAUACUUUGUAUUGUUGUGAUCACGAGGGUCUGUUGUAGAUGAAUGUCCGAGAUUCUGGUUGUGUGUUGACGGAUGUGAUACAGGUGACGGGUUAGUAUAGGAGUUGUGUGUUAUUACUCCUUGUAUCCGUGUACCAGAUUGCAUGACCAGUUAUUUCGGGAAUUCAUAGGUGGGAAUUCUAGUAGUCGCUUACACGACAAUCUUCCAACAAAUUCUUGAUGUUAGGUUGGGGUUCGACAUCUAGUGGAUUCCUGUCCACGAAAAUAUCGGACGAAAUCUUUCUCAUGAGUUUGAUCUGGCUUGUUUCAUAAGCCUCACCCUUUGUUUGUUGAAAUAUGGCAAUUCGCGUUGCUUCGAUGUCAAGUGGUGAUUUCAGAUCUUUCCUACGAGGUGUUCUCCUAUUUUUAUGUGAAUGCAAAUUCUUUGCUCAAUCAAUCGUCUUAAGCAAUUCUUGUCAACCGGAGUCGUCAUGUUAAUUCGUUUCCAACCGGUGUGCUUCUCUUCAGUGAAUUCAAUCCUCUUUAAUAUUUGCAAGAUCAUUCUCUCAUUUUAUUCCGGAGUUCAUCUCAUCUGUUCCAAGUUGUUUUUGUUUUUCCCCGCCCUCCCGCCGUUUUCUUCAAUGUUUGGAUUUCAUCCAAGUGCAUUCAAUUUUAGUGAUGCUUCCGCUGUCUGUUCUUUUCUCUCUUACCUGGUGAUUCAUUGUGAAGAUUCUCAGGAGAUUCGUGUCAUAUUUGUUCAUUCUUGUCAUUCUUAUCGGUGAAUUUAAUUCAGUUGUCCGUGUCAUCAUAUCCUUUUCAUCCUUGUAAUUCUUUCCUAUGUUGGAGAUUCUUGUUAGCCUAUCUUGGUUAUUAAUUCCUCUCUCUUUCUAUCCGGAGUGUUAAAUAUAUUUCAGGUGUUCUGGUUUUCAAUCCUUCAGUCAUUUCGAGGUGCUAACCUCAUCUAGUCUUCAUUUGUACCGGUGCAAUAUCAAUCUUUCUAGCAAUCUUUUCUAACGAUGAUUUCUUUGAGUGGGCCCAUAACCCACAGGUUUUCCCAGGAUCUUUCCUGACUCUUUUAGUUUUUUCCCGGAGAUCUUUAAUUCUUCUCAACUAUGACGUAAGUAUGAAUUUCAUCAGUCUUAUUCCUUCUUCAAAAUCAAUUUGAAUUAAUUCUCAUAUUUGGCUCAACCUUUCAUUCUUCAUUAUUACGGAGUGUCUCACUUAUUCUUGGUGUUGUUCUCAUCAUUAUUCUUAGCUUGCAAUCCGAAGGAGUGUUUCUCUCAAAUCUUUGUCCAUUCUCUUGGAGAUUCAUCAUUUCAGCUUGGUGCCAUCAUCUUAAUUGUUCCAAUCAUGAGUAAUCCCUUUUCUUGCUAUCCGGUGCUUUUCUGAGUUGAUUUCAUUCUCGAUCCUCCGAAGGCCAUCAUUUCAGAAGACUUUUUCGUUCUCAGCUUUCAUCUUUCGUUCUCUAAUUCUUCUCCAUUGUUGUCUCUUCGUUCGUCUCUCGAUUGUCCGGCACCUUGUUUAAGUUGUCUUCUCUCAGGUGGCUCAUGAGCUCUUCAUUAUCAUGUAUCUCCAUUGAUUCGUUGUGUUCCCAUUCAAAUGUGAAUUCUUACCGGUGCUUCUUUCAAUCAUGCCUCAAGUGGUGCUUAUCUCUCUGCCUCUUCAAGAUUCUUUCAAGAAGAAUAAGUGGUAUGCUAAAUCCGCUGCUUGUCAUCAAUUAAACUUGAUGAAGAACAAGCAUAACAUAAUUCUUAUUCUUGUUCGUAGUAUUUUGAAUUCUUCUUCCGGAGUGGCUCAUGGUUUCCAUUAUUUUCUCGUGUGCUUAUCUUUAUUUUCCGGAGUUCCAAGUUCUUUUUAGUAUCUCUUUGUGAGGCUUCUUCUAAAUCCUGGCAAGGUCAUAAUCUUAUUCUUUUCUACCUUGUUAUCUUUGCAUCGUUCAUUUGUAUACGGAGGUCCUUCAUGGUGGUUCAUCAAGGUUUCCAUCCAUUCUCAAGUGUUCUUCAAGAUUCGUGUUGGAGAACCUCAAGUGUCCUUUCUCUUGCAUUUGUAUGUGCAAUUGUUCUUCCUUUAUCCUUUGCGGUGGUAUUAUAGCAUUCUUGUUAGUGUAGGAGCCUCGAAGAGUUUUCCUUUCAAGAAUGAGAUAAUUAAACCUACCAAUUCUAUGAUCUUGAGAUAUUUGCAACCCAUGAUUUCUUCAUUGAGCUAUCUUGGUUUGGAUUUCACUUAAAGCUUUUCCUAUGGAUUGUUGCUAUCAUGGUGCUUGUCAUUAAUCCAAGUUCUCAAUGUAUCCUCUUGGUGUAAGGAAUUGUUCAUAUCUUGUUUCUCCCAAUCAUUCAUUGUUUAUUUUAGUGGGUUGUUGUCACCUCACAAAUGUGAGAUGGUUUUCAUAAGCCCACUACUAUCUUGUUCUUUUCGUUGUUGUUUUUCCAACAACUUCGUCCAAUUCUUCUUGCAAGGAUGCUUGCCAAGUUCAUUGGAGUUAAUAGUUGUCUUUCUCUACUUCCGCUUAAGCUAGUUCAUAUUCUCUUGUUCCGGAGGCAUUGUGAUGUUGCUCUUUUGGGUCUAUUAUGUUGUUCUAUCAAGAUCAUGGUGUUUCCUUGCUCUAUUUACUUGUUUGUUGUGAAUAUUGUCUAUUUCUUCCAUCUUAUCGAUUUUUUUGUCCCAUGUUCCUACCGAAGUGCUGCCGAAAUUUUCCGUGAAUUCUUGCUUCUUUCUCAUAUCAUUCCUCAUCUCUUUGCAACCUUCAAGGAUCGUUGGUUUCACUCGCUUGUCAAAGAAGCGAUUAAAUUUUUACCUCUUGUUCUUUCUCAUCCUCUCCCCCUUUCAUUCCUGGAUCUCGGGGCGAGAUCCUCUUGUAGUGUAGGAGAGUUGUGACACCCCGAUGCCGAUGUUCUAGAAGAUUCCCCUUCUAUUCUGUUUUCGUCGUGUGGGUAUUUUUAUUUGUCGCAUCAUCAUCGCAUCAUUUGCAUCAUCAGCAUUGCAUCGGUAUCCUGUUGCCGCCAGUUUUCGAAAACUUGCAUCCAUUGUUAGUUGCCGGUUCACGUCGUUGUCCGUUCUGAGCCCGAUCGCACUCGCACGUGCCCGCGGCAUCGUUCGAAACCCUGUUUUAAAAGUGUGCGUAAAACUUUCUCUGAUCGGGUUGAGAUUUGACGUGCGGUGUUAUUUUCAUAUAGCUAGGCCGCCUGUCGAAUUUCGUCACGAUCGGAGUUCGUCUGGUACCCGAACGGUCGACCGUAGCGGCACCGUAUUCGGUCUACCGUCGGACGUUUGUCGGUGUUUUAAAAUUGCAUUGCCGCGCCGCCCGUUUUCCCUCUCGUCUUCGAAUAACUGCUCUACACAGCCCACUAGUUCCACCAAGCCACUUCCUCCGUUCGUGGUCAUCGGAUCGCGAUCGUAUGGACGGGGUCCACCCCACCGGAGACCAACCCUAUAAGUAGCACCCCUAGAGAGACCUCUCUCACUUCACUAGGGUUCCCCCUAGUCGUUUUUGCAGACAACCCCCCUAGAAAUCCCCACCUGCUAGCCCACACCCUUCAAAUCCCACAGCCCAAGCUCCAUAGCCUUUCUCAGCCUUCGGAUCUAAGAUAUGGGGAUCAGAUUCGUCCAAAUCCUCACCUACCGGACAUGUCCGUGGUCAAAUCGGACAUGUCCGGGCGACCACAGGAGAUUCAUGCCAUGGCUAGCUCCUCCCGAGCUCCGCCCAUGGUAGCAGCCACCUGAUGCCCUCGCUCCCGCGCCCGUAGCUGCCCUCGCCCCACCGCCGUGCUCUGCUCGCCGGCCAUGGCCGCCGCCUCACCGCCACCCUCGUUCCCGGCGAGUCCCCAACCGCCUCGUGCCACAUCCCGCACGCAGUAGGAUCCCAACCUCCGGGAAGCGCCGCCGCACCAGCCUCCCGUCGUCGUGUCUGUUUGGUGUCGCCGUCGUGUGGAUCAGGAGCACACUGGCCGGAUCUGUCCGAUCCCGGCUGUGGCAAGCUCCCCAAUGGCCGAUGCCAUCGUCGUUGACCUGCCCCGCCGCUCCUUCCUCCCGCUCGGGAACGAGCAGGGAGGCCCUGCAGCUCCUGCGUCGCCAGCGCCAGGAGGGCCACGCGAGCGCUCCGCCCCGUGGGCCGCUUGGACCACCAGGCGCCUCAGCCAGCGCCUCCUCCUGGCCCAGCUCGCCCCGUCCGCGAGGCCCAGGCCAGCGCCUCGGCCUGCCUCCUCCUCUCCAGGCCUGCCAACACCCUAGGCCCAAGGUGAGAACCCCCCCGAUCCUCUAUUCUUCGCACAUGUGCUGAUUUGUUAUCCUGAGCCCGUGUACUCUUCGGCCCAUUAGGGAUUUAGGAUGUUUUAGGAAUUUAUAAUUCCAGAAAUUAGGCAUAUAUUAGAUCGCCCGUAGUUUUAAUUCCGUAAGUCGGAUCACGACAUAUUGUAUAUGGUUUUGGGGCAGUUUUUCCGAGUAGAACACAAUUUCACCACUUGCAUAUUUGUUUGGCGUCGUUUAGCGCACCGUAUGCCUAGAGUAACGUGAUGUUUUAGUAGGAUACGUCCCGUAUUUAUUUAUUUUCUUGCGGUCCGGAUUGCUCGAGUACCUUAGAUAAAAUGCCUAUGUUUUAGGGACCAUUUUUCCAUGUAUUUUAGAGCAGUCAUUUGUAUUUUUGCGUGUAGGGAUUGCCGCUAGUUUAUUUUCCCGUGUAUAGGUUAUUUUCUCGCAUUAAAAUGUCACGAUAUUUUUGUGUUGCAACCCCACUUGUUUUACAUGUUUUCGGGGUAGAAAAAUCCAUGGGAUUAUUCUGUGCAAUUAGUUUUAGCUUUUGGGAAAUUAGUUCGCGCGAUAUUUGGCCAUGUUGCCCUCUUGUCUUUUCCGUAGGAUUUAUUCCGUGCUUCGUUUGAUUAAUUUGUCAACUAGGGAGUUGUUCUUGGGUGUUUACUCUAGCCCCUGGUAUUUUUGGUUGCAAUAGAAAUGCAUGUUUAGGUGUGGUUUGCUUGCUCUCAAAUUGCUAGAAAUAGUGCUGAUUUGGACGUGCUGAAAUAAUUCUAAGUCUGGAAUCUGUUAUAUUUUGUUGUUGUCUUGUCUUGCUUGUAUCUUGUGAUCUCUAGCUAUUUUGACGUUGGUCCAAUGGAGUUAGUUGAAGCCCUUGUGUUUCUCUAGAAUGCUGUGAAGUUUCAUGCUAUUUGAAGUCUUGUAGCUUAUGAUUUUGCUGCUGUCAAUAUGGCUUCAGAUCGAAAACUGCACUUUCGUGAGGUGUAAUUUUAACCAAGUCUGAAAUAGUGUGUGGGAUGCCAUUUUGUGUCUUCUUUCCCUAGUGAUCCAUGAUGCCAUGCUAGUUGUUGAUAGUUUUUUGUAGUAGUGCUUCUUGCCCUCUUUCGUGUCAUGCCUUCCUUGAGUUUAUCGGAGUUGUGUAGCCGUAGUUGUGGGGCGUAGAAAAUGCUAUGUGGCUGAUUUUGGCAGAUUGUAGUCAUUUCUUGUUUUGCUCGUAGUUUUUGAACCGUAGCUCCAAUUUGAUCGUGUCCUACACGAAACUUUCUUAGAAUCUCAUGUAGUUUCUUUUUCCCUUUCUGAUUGUAUGUUUUGAAGUGCUCGUGACCACCUUUGCACACAUAUUGCAUUCAUGCCAUCAUAUCUUGCGGUGCUUGUAACUUUUGAUCCGUAGCUCCGUUGGAGAUGUUCUCUAUGUGUAGAUUGCUUGAAAUGAUGCGUAGAAUCACAUGAACCUAUUUGUUUUGUUGUUUAACAACUAUUUAAAUGUGUUAGUUCAGAUCUGGACAGAAUCGUAAAUUAACAUGUGAGGUCGUCUCGGAGGUGCUAUAUGUCAUUUCCGACCUCAUUUAAAAUGCCUAGAUAAGUAGUUUAAUUAUGCUUCACCUCUUGCCAUGUUUAAUCACAUUUAAUAUUGCCGUGUAUCUAAUCAGGAUAGAACUAAAUAAUUAAACGUGGAGUUUCGUCAAUAUGCAACUCGUUGCAUAUUGAACUUCACUUAAUGUGUAGUGUUUGAUUGUGUGGAUUGUCAUGCCGUGUCUUGCAUGUAUUCAGCUGCUCAUGCAUCAUUUGUGUUGUGCAUCGUGUGGUGCAUAUCUUGUGUUGAUUUGUGUUUCCGGUUUGCUCCGUCUCGAUAGAGUUCCGCAAGCGUGUCGGAUGUGAGGACCCGUUCGACUACGUCGGUUCGUCUGCUUCACGGAGGCAUUCUUCUUCCAAGCGGGAUCUCAAGCAAGAUGAUCAUUUCCCCAGAUACCAUUACUAUCAUUGGCAUGCUAGUUUUACCGUUUCUACCGUUUCUGUCUCGUUGCUUACCACAUGUUAAAUAUCAGCCUCUCAACAAUGCCAUGAAACCUUCAACCUGUUUAACCUAGCAAACCACAGAUUGGCUAUGUUACUGCUUGCUUAACCAUGUUGUUAGCGUUGCUAGUUGUAGGUGCAUUGCUUCCAUGUGAAAGCAUGGGUUCCUUGUUAUAUCACCAUAUUACUGCUAUUUAAUUUAAUGCACCUAUAUACUUGGUAAAAGGUGGAAGGCUCGACCUUUCUAGCCUGGUGUUUUGUUCCACCUUUGCCCCCUUAGUUUUCGGCUACCGAUGUUAUGUUCCAUAAAUGAGCGCUCCUAACACGGUCGGGGUUGUUAUGGGGACCCCCUUGAUAAUUCGUUUUAGAUUUAGACUGGUCUCGAAGGGCCCAACUUUGGUACUACAUUUGCCUAAACACCUAAUAAAAUUGCAUAGGGACUUUCCGGACCCCGAGGAUAAUUUAAUCAACCCGUGAGCCAGUGCUCCUCAUGAGUGUUGGUCCAAAUUGGCAGACUACGGGGCCACCGCGGGGCAACCCGAGGUUUGGUUCUCCUAGUGUGACCCAUCCGUCGUGUCCUGAGAACGAGGUACGCGACUCCUAUCGGGAUCGUCGACACGUCGGGCGGCCUUGCUGGAUUAGUUUUACCUUUGACGGAAUAUCUUGUGCAUCGGGAUUCCGGUGAUGCUUUGGGUAAUCUCAGAGUUGAGGUUUUUCACUAGGGAAUCCGACAAGAUCGCGAGCUUCGUGAUUGAGGAUUUCUAUGCGGCUUGUGGUAAUUUGUGAUGGAAACUUUGUUUAAAUCUUUCGGAAAGCCGUGCCCGCGGUUAUGUGGCAAUGUGGAAACUUUGUUUAACACUGGUUCUAUAUAACUCGAAGUUAAUUAACUAAAAUAUGCCAACUGUGUGCGUAAUCGUGACUGUCUCUUUCGUGAGUUCCUUCUCCGAUCGAGGACACGGUGGGGUUAUGUCUGACGUAGGUAGGUGUUCAGGAUCAUUCAUUUGAUCAUCUGUAGUUCACGUCCGCUAUGCGUAGAUCUUUCCCCUCUUACUUCUUGUACUCGUAAGUUAGCCACCAAAUAUAUGCUUAGCCGCUGCUGCAACCUCACCACUUAACCUUACCUCACCCAAUAAGCUUUGCUAGUCUUGAUACCUUUGGAAAUGAGAUUGCUGAGUCCCCUGUGGCUCACAUAUUACUACAACACCAGUUGCAGGUACAGGUAAAGUUUACUUGACGCGAGCGCGUGAUUGUUCAUUUGGAGUUGCUUCUUCUUCUUCUUCUUCAUCGAUCUAGGAUGGGUUCCAGGCCGGCAGCCUGGUAUAGCAAGGAUGGACAUCGUUCUUCUUUUCUCGUUUGUUUUCGUCCGUAGUCGAACCCUGAUUUUACUCUUGAUGAUUAUGUAAUGUACUGAUGUGACUCUGAUGUAGCUUGUGGCGACUGUAAGCCAAUUCUAUUAUAUAUCUCUUCUUUUUCAGUACAUUUACUUGUAACGAUAUCUAUUCUUGCGACACGACGAGAUGCGCUUGUAUCCCUGACAAGGCCUUCGUGCCAAAUUGAGGAUAGGGUCGCAUCUUGGGCAUGGCACCCAAUCACUAUGAGCAACAAGAUAAAUGAUUCCUCCUUCGAGAAGCUUUAAUAUUUCUUUUCUAACAACUUCUUUCAUCUUAGGAUUUAAUCUCCUUUGAUGAUCAGCAACUGGUUUGAAGUCAGGAUCGGUUUUAAUCUUGUGCUGGCGUAGAGUGGGACUAAUACCCUUAAGAUCAUCAAGAGUAUAUCCAAUAGCAGCACGGUGCUUCCUCGGAGUUCUUAGUAACUUCUUCUCUUCAUGCUCUGAGAGGAGGGCACUAAUAAUGACAGGAUAUAUCUCCUUCUCAUCAAGAUAGGAAUACUUAAGAGUAUCAGGCAACUGUUUAAGCUCGAACACAGGAUCACCCUUUGGUGGGGGAGGAUCCCCAAGGAGUUCAACAGGUAGAUUAUUCUUGAGAAUAGGAUAUUGUUCUAAGACAAUUUUAUCUAUCUCAUCUCUCUCCUCCAUAUGCAUAUCAUUUUCAUGCUCAAGAAGAUAUUGCUCUAAAGGAUCCGUAGGAGGUAUGGCAAUAGAGGCAAGAGCAAUGAUUUCAUCCCUACCAGACGACUCUCUUUCAUGGGGUUGUCUUCCAAACUUGGAGAAGUUAAAUUCAUGAGACACACCCUCGAAACUAACAGUGACGGUCUGCUUAAUGCAAUCAAUGUGAGCAUUGACAGUGUUGAGAAAGGGUCUACCAAAUAUGAUGGGACAAAAGCUAUCUUGUGUAGUACCAAGGACGAGGAAAUCAAUAGGAUACUUCGUCUUACUACACAGGACUUCUACGUCUCUCACAAUUGCCAGAGGGCAGAUAGUGUCUCUAUUAACUAGCGUACUAGUGACAUCAAUGGGUUCUAACUCAGCAGGUGCAAUCUCAUCUUUGAUUUCAUCAUAUAGAGAACGGGGUAUUGCACUAACACUAGCUCCCAUAUCACAUAAACCAUGGUAACAGUGAUCUCCUAUCUUGACAGAAACAACAGGCAGGCCAACUACAGGUCCGUGUUUGUCUUUCGCGUGAGGUUUAGCAAUUCUAGCGGAGUCCUCAUAGAAUUUAAUAACAUGCCCAUCUAUGUCUUCGGCUAAGAGAUCUUUGAUAAUAGCAACACUAGGUUCAACUCUAAUCUCCUCAGGGGGUGCAAGUGGUCUAAUGUAACCCCUACGUAUCACAGUUGGAGCUUUAGAAUAAUCCUUUAUCCUAGCAGGGUAUGGUGGUUUCUCAGUGUAAGCACAAGGAACAACAGGAUCACUAAAAACAAUGACUUUCUCCUCAACUAGAUUGGUUUUGGCUAUGUUGCUUUCUACAGGAGGAUGAUAUUUAAACCACUUCUCUUUGGGAAGAUCAACAUGAGCAGCAAAAGAUUCACAUAGAGAAGCUACUAUCUUAGAGUCAAGUCCAUACUUAGCGCUAAAAUCUCUAAAGUGUUUGUCUCAACAAAAGAUUUAACGCAAUCAAACUAGAAAUUCAUACCUGACUCCUUACCUUCCUCCAGCUCCCAAUCUUCAGAGUUGUGUUUGAUUCUCUCCAAUAAAUUCCACUUGUGAUCAAUAUCCUUCUUCAUAAAAGAACCGGUACAAGAAGUGUCAAGCAUGGUACGAUCUUCAUGAGAAAGCCGAGCAUAAAAGUUUUGAGUGAUGAUUUCUCUCGAGAGCUCAUGAUUGGGGCAUGAAUAUAGCAUUGAUUUAAGCCUCCCCCAAGCUUGAGCUGUGCUUUCCCUGUCACGAGGCCAAAAGUUAUAAAUAAAGUUCCGAUCACGAUGUACUAAAUGCAUAGGAUAGAACUUUUGAUGAAAUUCCAAUUUCAACCGAUGGUAGUCCCAUGAUCCAGUAUCAUCACAUAUCCUAUACCAUGUCAACGCCUUAUCCUUCAAAGAUAAAGGAAAGACUUUAUUCUUUACCUCAUCCUCGGGCAAACCUGCAAGCUUAAAUAAACCACAAACUUCAUCUACAUAGAUUAGAUGCAAGUCUGGAUGUGAAGAUCCAUCUCGUGUAAAAGGAUUAGCGAGCAGUUUCUCAAGCAUACCCGAAGGAAUUUCAUAAAAGAUAUUUUCAGUAGGUACCUCAGGUUGAGGAACAACUCCUCGUGCUUCUGUUCGUGGUGAAGAUACCCCGAACAAACUCCUCAAAGGAACAGUUUCCAUAGUGACAAGUGACAAUAAAUUUCAGCAUAGUAUAAAAAUGUUUCCUUGCCAAAGGCGCUUCACUCCCCGGCAACGGCGCCAGAAAAGAGUUUUGAUGACCCACAAGUAUAGGGGAUCAAUCGUAGUCCUUUCGAUAAGUAAGAGUGUCGAACCCAACGAGGAGCAGAAGGCUCUGAUAAACGGAUUUCAGCAAGGUAAAAACUGCAAGCACUGAAAGUAGCGGUAACAAGUGAUUGUGUAGCGAGGUGAAACGUAGCAAGCAAAAAAGUAACAAGUAACAAGUAGUAGCAACGGUGCAGCAAGUGUCCCAAUCCCUUUUGUAGCAAGGGACAAGCCUGAACAAAGUCUUAUAGAAGGAAAAACGCUCCCGAGGACACACGGGAAUUUCUGUCAUGCUAGUUUCAUCAUGUUCAUAUGAUUCGCGUUCGUUACUUUGAUAGUUUGAUAUGUGGGUGGACUGGCGCUUGGGUACUGCCCUUACUUGGACAAGCAUCCCACUAAUGAUUAACCUCUCUCACAAGCAUCCGCAACUACAAAAGAAGAAUUAAGACAACGUCUAACCAUAGCAUUAAACUAGUGGAUCCAAAUCAGCCCCUUACGAAGCAACGCAUAGACUGGGGUUUAAGCUUCUGUCACUCCAGCAACCCAUCAUCUACUUACUACUCCCCAAUGCCUUCCUCUAGGCCCAAAUAUGGUGAAGUGUUAUGUAGUCGACAUUCACAUAACACCACUAGAGGAAAAGACAACAUACAUCAUAUCAAAAUACCGAACGAAUAUCAAAUUCACAUGACUAUUAUCAGCAUGACUUAUCCCAUGUCCUCAGGAACAAAAGUAACUACUCACAAAACAUAAUCAUAAUCAUGAUCAGAGGUGUAAUGAAUAGCAUCAAGGAUCUGAACAUAAACUCUUCCACCAAGUAAUCCAACUAGCAUCAACUAUAAAGAGUAAUCAACACUACUAGUAACCUUACAAGUACCAAUCGGAGUCGUGAGACAGAGAUUGGUUACAAGAGAUGAACUAGGGAUUGUAGAGGAGAUGGUGCUGAUGAAGAUGUUGAUGAAGAUGCCUCCCCUCCGACGAGAGGAGUGUUGGUGAUGACGAUGGCGACAAUUUCCUCCUCCGGGAGGGAAGUUUCCCCGACAGGAUCGUCCUGCCGGAGCUCUAGAUUGGAUCUGCUCAAGAUCCGCCUCGCGGCGGCGGCGAAACCACGAAAAAGCUCCCGAAUGAUUUCUUUCUGGACCAAAACCCUUCAUAUAGCAAAAGAGGGGGCUAGUGGAUCGUCAGGGAGCCCACAAGCCCCCACUCCGCCACCAGGGGGUGGCGGUGGCAGGGCUUGUGGCGCCCUGGCAGCCCCCUCCGGUACUUCUUUCGCCCAGUAUUUUUUAUAUAAUCCCAAAAAAAUCCAUGUAACUUUUCAGGGCAUUUGGAGAUGUGCAGAAUAGUGGACUAAGAUUUGCUCCUUUUCCAGUCCAGAAUUCCAGCUGCCUGAAUUCUCCCUCUUCAAAUAAACCUUGCAAAAUAAGAGAGAAAAGAAAUAAAUAUGGUACCACAAAGUAAUAUAACAGCCCAAAAAGCAAUAAAUAUCAACAUGAAAUCAUGAUGCAAAAUGGACGUAUCAGUGCCUGUUUCUUCAACUUUUGUUGAAUUGGAUUUGACCGAGGCGGUCCUUGGAGAGAGGUUAAAUAGCAAUUUGCACAUCUCCGUUCUGGUUUUGCGUAAGUAAGGUGCGAUCAUACUAGAUACCCAUAGCAGCCACGUAAGACAUGCAACAACAAAUUAGAGGACGUCUAACUUGUUUUUGCAGGGUACGCUUGUGAUGUGAUAUGGCCAAAGACAUGAUGUGAUAUAUUGGAUGUAUGAGAUGAUCAUGUUGUAAUAGUUAAAUAUCGACUUGCACGUCGAUGCUACGGCAACCGCCAAGAGCCAUAGGGUUGUCUUUAAACUAACGUUUGUGUUUGCAGAUGUGUUUACUAUAUUGCUAGGUUGUAGCUUUAGUUGUAAUAGCAUAGAUAGCACGACAACCUUGAUGGCGGCACGAUGAUGGAGAUCAUGGUGUGGCUCCGGUGACGAUGAAGAUCAUGCCGGUGCUUUGGUGAUGGAGAUCAAGAAGCACAAGAACAUGGACAUAUCAUGUCACUUAUNNNNNNNNNNNNNNNNNNNNNNNNNNNNNNNNNNNNNNNNNNNNNNNNNNNNNNNNNNNNNNNNNNNNNNNNNNNNNNNNNNNNNNNNNNNNNNNNNNNNNNNNNNNNNNNNNNNNNNNNNNNNNNNNNNNNNNNNAAUUGCAUGUGAUGUUAGUCCUUUUAUGCACCUUAUCUUGCUUAGAACAAUGGUAGCAUUAUAAGGUGAUCCCUCACUAAAUUUCAAGAUAAAAAUUGUGUUCUCCCCGACUAUGCACCGUUGCGACAGUUCGUCGUUUUGAGACACCACGUGAUGAUCGGGUGUGAUAGACUCAACGUUCACAUACAAUGGGUGCAAAACAGUUGCACACGCAAAACAUUCGGGUUAAACUUGACGAGCCUAGCAUGUGCACACAUGGCCUCGGAACACAUGGGACCGAAAGGUCGAGCAUGAAUCGUAUAGUUGAUAUGAUUAACAUAGAUAUGUUUACCACUGAAACUGCACUGAACUCACGUAAUGAUCGGACUUGAGUUAGUGAAUUUGGAUCAUGUCACACUCAAGUAACUAGAGGGAUAUCUAUUUGAGUGGGAGUUUAUUAGUAAUUUGAUUAGUUAAACUCUAAUUGUCUUGAACAUAGUCUAAGUCCACUUUGCAAUAUUUUAUGUUGUAGAUCAAUGGCUCACGCAGUAGCAACCCUGAAUUUUAAUACGUUCCUAGAGAAAGCUAAGUUGAAAGAUGAUAGUAGCAACUUUGUAGACUGGGCUCGUAAUCUAAGGCUCAUCCUAAAAGCUAAGAAAAAGAAUUAUGUCCUUGAUACUGCGCUAGGAGAUGAACCACCUGCUACGUCUGAUCAAGAUGUUUUGAACGCUUGGCAAGCACGUAAGCAGGACUACCUAGUAGUUCAAUGUGCAGUCUUGUAUGGCUUAGAACCGGGACUUCAAUGACGCUUUGAACGUCAUGGAGCAUAUGAGAUGUUCUAGGAGUUGAAGUUUAUCUUUCAGAAGAACGACCGGAUCGAGAGGUAUGAGACCUCCGAUAAAUUCUAUGCUUGCAAAAUGGAGGAGAAUUCGUGUGUCAGUGAACAUGUGUUCAAAAUUUCUGGGUACUCAAACCGUCUAGCUGAGUUAGGGAUUGAACUCCUACAAGUGGCUAUCACUGACAGAAUUCUUCAAUCACUGCCACCUAGCUACAAGAGAUUUGUGUUGAACUAUAACAUGCAAGGGAUGAACAAGUCACCCGGCGAGUUAUUCCCGAUGCUGAAAGUCGCACAGUCCGAACUCCGGAACGAGCAUCAAGUGUUGGUGCUCAAUAACACCACUGGUUUCAAGAGAAACGACAAAGGCAAGAAGGGUAGCUCCAAGAAGGGAGGCAAAACUGUUGCUACUCCGACGAAGAAACCCAAGGCUCGACCUAAGCCGGAAAUUGGGGGCUAUUAUUGCAAGGGGAUAGGUCACUGGAAGUGCAACUGCCCCAAGUAUUUGGCUGAUAAGAAGGUGGCCAACACCAAACCAGGUAUAUGUGAUAUACAUGUUAUUGAUGUGUGCCUAACCAACGCUCGUAGUAGUGCCUGGGUAUUUGAUACCGGUUCUGUUGCUCAUAUUUGCAACUCGAAGCAGGAACUACGGAAUAAACGAAGGCUGGCAAAAGAUGAAGUGACGAUGCGCGUGGGAAAUGGUUCCAAGGUUGAUGCAAUCACCGUCGGCACAGUCUCACUUCUGUUACCAUCAGGAUUAGUUAUGAACUUAAAUAAUUUUUAUUUAGUGCCUGCGUUAAUCUUGAACAUUAUAUCUGGAUCUUGUUUAUUGCGAGACGGUUACUCAUUUAAGUCAGAGAAUAAUGGAUGUUCUAUUUUUAUGAGUAAUAUCUUUUAUGGUCAUACACCCAAUGUGAGGGGUUUGUUCAUAUUGAAUCUUGAUUGUGAUGACACACAUAUACAUAACACUAAGACCAAAAGAUGUAGAGUUAACAAUGAUAGCGCCACCUUUUUGUGGCACUGCCGCUUAGGUCAUAUUGGUGUAAAGCGCAUGAAGAAACUCCAUGUUGAUGGGCUUUUGGAGUCACUUGAUUUCGAAUCACUUGACACGUGCGAACCAUGCCUCAUGGGAAAGGUGAAUAAGACUCCAUUCUCCAGAACAAUGGAGCGUGCAGGUGACUUGUUGGAGAUCAUACAUACUGAUAUGUGCGGUCCAAUGAGUGUGGAGGCACGCGGCGGAUAUCGUUAUUUUCUCAACUUCAUUGAUGAUUUGAGUAGGUAUGGAUAUAUCUACUUGAUGAAGCACAACUCUGAAAUGUUUGAAAAGUUCAAGCCAUUUUAGAGUGAAGUUGAAAAUCAUCGUAACAAGAAGAUCAAGUUCCUACGAUCUGAUCGAGGGGGCGAAUAUCUGAGUUUCGAGUUUGGUGCUCACUUAAGACAAUGUGGAAUCAUUUCACAGUUGACACCGCCUGGAACACCACAGCAUAAUGGUGUGUCCAAACGUCGUAAUCAUACUUUGUUAGAUAUGGUGCGAUCUAUGAUGUCUCUUACCGAUUUGCCAUUAUCGUUUUGGGGUUAUGCAUUUGAGACAGCUGCAUUCACUUUAAUUAGGGCACCAUCAAAAUCCGUUGAGACGACACCAUAUGAGCUAUGAAAUGGCAAGAGGCCAAAGUUGUCGUUUCUUAAAGUUUGGGGAUGCGGUGCUUAUGUCAAAAAGCUUCAGCCUGAAAAGCCGGAACCCAAAUCGGAAAAAUGCGUCUUGAUAGGUUACCCAAAAGAGACAGUUGGGUACACCUUCUAUCUCAAAUCCGAGGGCAAAGUGGUUGUUGCUAAGAACGAAGCUUUUCUUGAGAAGGAGUUUCUCUCGAAAUAAUUGAAUGGGAGGAAGAUAGAACUUGAUGAGGUUGUGGAACCUCUGCUCCCUCUAGAUGGUGGCGUAGGGUAGAGGGAAAUCUCUGUCGAGGCAACACUGGUUGAGGAGGAAGCUAAUGAUGAUGAUCAUGAAGCUUCGGAUCAAGUUACUAUCGGACCUCGUAGGUCAACAAGAUCGCGUACUCCUCCUGAGUGGUACGGGAAUCUUGUCUUAUAUAUGAUGUUGUUAGACAACAAUGAGCCUGUGAAUUAUGAAGAAGCAAUGGUGGGCCCAGAUUCCAACAAAUGGCUAGAGGCCAUGAAGUCCGAGAUAGGAUCUAUGUAUGAAAACAAAGUAUCGACUUUGGAAGUAUUACCUGAAGGUCGCAAGGCUAUUCAGAACAAAUGGAUCUUUAAGAAGAAGACGAACACGGACGGUGAUACGUCUCCAACAUAUCUAUAAUUUUUGAUGGUUCCAUGCUAUUAUCUUGUCAAACUUUGGAUGUUUUGUAUGCCUUUUAUAUCUUUUUUGGGACUAACUUAUUAACUCAGUGCCAAGUGCCAAUUCCUGUUUUUUUUCGUGUUUUUGACCCUUUUCAGAGGAGAAUAUUAAACGGAGUCCAAACGGAAUAAAACUUCCGAAAAGAUUUUUUCCAGAACAGAAGGUACGCACGGGGCGUGACAACCAAGGCAGACGCCACCAGGGGAGGCCACAAGCCCCCUAGGCGCGGCCAGGGGGGCGCGCGCCUAGCAGGCUUGUGGGCCCCCUGUGGCUCGUCUGCUCUACCUCUUCCGCCUAUAAAUUCCCGAAAAGUCCAAAACUACGCGAGAGAUCCACGAAAAUACUUUUCCGCCGCGGCAAGCUUCUGUCUCCGCAAGAUCCCAUCUGGGGCACGUUUUGGUGCCCUGCCGGAGGGGGGAUUCGGAUACGAAGGGCUUCUUCAUCAACACCAUUGCCUCUCCGAUGAUGCGUGCGUAGUUCACCAUAGACCUUCGGGUCCAUAGCUAGUAGCUAGAUGGCUUCUUCUCUCUCUUGGAUCUUCAAUACAAAGUUCUCCAUGAUCUUCAUGGACAUCUAUCCGAUGAAAUCUACUUUUGGGUGUGUUUGUUGAGAUCCGAUGAAUUGUGGGUUUAUGAUCAGAUUAUCUAUGAAUCUUAUUUGAGUUUCUUCUGAUCUCUUAUAUGCAUGAUUUCAUAUCAUUGUAAUUUUCUUCGAGUUGUGGGUUUUGUUUGGCCAACUUGAUCUAUGAUUCUUGCAAUGGGAGAAGUUCUUGGUUUUGGGUUCAUACCGUGCGGUGACCUCACCCAGUGACAGAAGGGGUAGCGAGGAACGCAUCAUGUUUUUGCCAUCAAGGGUAAAAAGAUGGGGUUUAUAUCUAUUGCAUGAAUUUAUCCCUCUACAUCAUGUCAUCUUGCUUAAGGCGUUACUAUGUUCGCCAUGAACACAAUACACUAGAUGCAUGCUGGAUAGCGGUCGAUGUGUGGAGUAAUAGUAGUAGAUGCAGAAAGUAUCAGUCUACUUGUCUCAGAUGUGAUGCCUAUAUGUAUGAUCAUUGCCUUAGAUAUCGUCAUGACUUUGCGCGGUUCUAUCAAUUGCUCGACAGUAAUUUGUUCACCCACCGUAAUAUCUGCUAUUUUGAGAGAAACCUCUAGUGAACACUAUGGCCCCCCGGUCUACUUCACAUCAUAUUUUCAGCCUUACACUUUUACUUCCUUGCACUUUCCGCCUUCAAAUCUCACUUUCCAAUCAAUCUUGAAGGGAUUGACAACCCCUUUAUAGCAUUCGAUGCAAGCUCGUUUGUGUUUACGCAGGUACUCUGGAAACUUGGCUUGAUUCUCGUACUGGAUUGAUACCUUGGUUCUCAAACUGAGGGAAAUACUUAUUGCUACUGUGCUGCAUCACCCUUUCCUCUUCAAGGGAAAACCAAUGCAAGCUCAAGAGGUAGCAAGAAGAAUUUAUGGCGCCAUUGCCGGGGAGUAUCAAGUCAAGAAUAGUCUCCUGUCAACGUGUCAAUUUCUGGCACCGGGGAUUAUUCUAAGUGAAGCUUAUCCAAGUAAGUGUCGCAAAGCAAUCUUUUGCAUUUACUUUUUGCCUCUCGUUUUCCUCUCCCCCACUUCUGGAAAAUAAAAAUUGACAAAAAUAUUUGGCUUUUCGUAGUAAUCACUUUGGCAACUUCUACCACAAUGCUCAUGGAAAUUACAACAAAUUACCCUCUGAUCUAGAGAGUAAUAUCAAAGAGUUCAUCAACUCGCAAAAGAUUUUCAAUGCGUUCAUAGAAUAAAAAAUACUCAAAAUUGAUGAUUUGGCUAGGAGCGUUGGUAGAAUGUCUAUUGAUAUUGAUGCUUUAAAAGUUAGAUGUGCUCCUCCCAAGAUCAAUAUGGAUUAAACUUUGAAAGCUAUGCGUGUUUCCAUGAAUAAUAGAAAAGAAAGAACCGCCCAAAUUAGUGCUAGACAUGAAUGGCUUAAAAAGGCGUGUUCUCGUGAUGAGAGUCACGAAGAUCUUAAAGUGCUUGGUGUGACUCCCAUUGAAUCCUUGUUUUCUAGUGUCAGACCUAAUAAUGAUGGGGCUGGAUAUGAAUCCACCUUGGUUGAAAAAUGCCCCAAUGAUUCGGAGUCUAUCUAUCUUGAUGCUAAAAGCAUUGAAAAUGGAGUAGAGGAUAUCAAAACUUUGAGUAGUAAUGAAACUACUACUUUGGAUUUCAAGGAAUUCAAUUAUGAUAGUUUCUCUUUGAUUGAUUGUAUUUCCUUGAUGCAAUCCAUGCUAAACUCUCCACACGCUUAUAGCCAAAACAAAGCCUUUACCGAUCAUAUGGUCGAUGCUAUGAUAAAAUCCCUUGAAGAGAAACUUGAGUUGGUAGUUUCUAUUCCUAGAAAGCUUCAUGAUGAGUGGGAACCUACUAUCAAAAUCAAAAUCAAAAACUAUGAAUGCAAUGCUUCGUGUGAUUUGGGUGCUAGUGUUUCCGCGAUUCCAAAGUCUUUAUGUGAUGUUCUAGACUUUAAUGAGAUUGAGGAGUGCUCUCUUAAUUUGCAUCUUGCGGAUUCUACUAUUAAGAAACGCAUGGGAAGGAUCAAUGAUGUUCUUAUUAUUGCAAAUAGGAACUAUGUACCCGUGGAUUUCAUUAUGCUUGUAUUGAUUGCAAUCCUACAUGUCCUAUCAUUCUUGGUAGACCUUUCUUAAGGACUAUUGGUGCUAUCAUCGAUAUGAAGGAAGGGAAUAUUAGAUUUCAAUUUCCUUUAAAGAAGGGCAUGGAGCAUUUUCCUAGAGAGAAAAUGAGAUUGUCUUAUGAAUCCAUGAUGAGGGCUACUUAUGGUUUGAGCACCAAAGACGACGAUACGUGAUUCUAUCACCUGAUGCCUAGCUAAGGGCUUUAAACAAUAGCGCUUGUUGGGAGGCAACCCAAUGAAUUUAUCUUUAAUUUUUGCUUUCUAUUUUGUUGCGUCCAAACCAUCAUAAUUCUGUUAUGAUUGUGUAUUUUGUGUUUCUUUUUGUGUUUGAGCCAAGUAAAACCUUUAUGACUAGUUUGGUGAUGGUUGUUUGAUCCUGCUGGAAAAAGACAGAAACUUUUCGCUCACGAAAUUAUUUUUCAUUUUUAUCCAUAAAGGGAUUUUGGGUUGAUUCUUUUUGCUUCUGGUUGAUAUGCCAAUUAUCCAAACUGUCGUAAUUUUUCAGAAUUUUUGAGAUAACAGAAAUAUACGAAGUAUACAGAUUACUACAAACUGGUCUGUUUUUGACAGAUUCCGUUUUUGUUGUGUUGGUUGCUUGCUUUAAUGAAACUAUGGAUAGUAUCGGGGGAUACUAGCCAUGAAAAAGUGAGAAUAAAGUAAUAUAACACCAAUAUAAAUAGAAAUCAAGUUUUCUACAGUACCUCAAGAGGUGGUAGUUUGUUUUCUUGUGCUAAUGAUAUCACGAGUUUCUGUUUAAGUUUUGUGUUGUGAAGUUUUCAAGUUCUGGGUGAUGUUCUCAUGGACAAAGGGAUAAAGAGUGGAAAGAUCUCAAGCUUGGGGAUUCCCAAGGCACCCCAAGCCAAAUUCAAGGACACCAAAAAGCGUAAGCUUGGGGAUGCCCCGGGAAGGCAUCCCCUCUUUCGUCUUCAAUCCAUCGGUAACAUUACUUGGAGCUAUAUUUUUAUUCACCACAUGAUAUGUGUUUUUCUUGGAGCGUCUUGUAUCGUAGGAGUAUUUUAUUUUUGUUGUGUCACAAUCAUCCUUGCUGCACACCUUUUGAGAGAUACAUGCAGUCAUCGUGAUUUUGCUAGAAUACUCUUUAAGCUUCGCUUAUAUCUUUUGAGUUAGGCAAUUUAGCUCACAUAUGCUUCACUUAGAUGUUUUAGAGCACGGCGGUGUCAUAUUUUGGAGAAAUAAGAACUCUCGAUCUUCACUUAUAUAUUUUUGAGAGUGAUCUCUCUGAGUAACUUGGUAGUUGGCUUGUGCUAUGAAAGUAGUCCCAAAGGUGAUAGGAAUCCAAAAAGGAUACAAUGAAACUUCCAUCUUCUUGUGCAUUGAUUAGAAAGAGAGUUUGAUUCCUCUCAGUUAGUUUUGAGAUAUGGAUUUGGUGAUACUAAGAGUUAUGUUAGUAGGGUGUUGUGAAUCUAGAAAUACUAGUGUUGAAGUUAGUGAUUCCUGUAACAUGCAUGUAUGGUGAACCACUAUGUUAGGAAGUCGGAGCAUAAUUGAUCUAUUUAUUGUCAUCCUUUGUGUUGCGGUCGGGAUCGCGCGAUGGUUAACACCUACCAACACUUCCCCUAGUAGUAUGCGUUUAGCACUUUGUUUCGAUUACUAAUAAAAACAUCCGCAAUCAGUAUGUGAGUUCUUCAUGACUAAUGUGAGUCCAUGGUAUAGAUGCACUUUCACCUUCCACCAUUGCUAGCCUCUUUAGUGCCACGCAACUUUCGCCGGUGCACAAACCACCAUAUGCCUUCCUCAAAACAGACACCAUACCUACCUACUAUGGCAUAUUCAUAGUCAUUCCGAGAUAUAUUGCCAUGCAACUCCCACCGUUCCGUCUCAUGAAUUGUGCCGUCACUUUCAUAUUGCCAUUGCAUGAUCGUAAGAUAGAUAGCGAGUCAUACACCAAGCUAGAUCAUUGCACAUCCCGGUACAUUGUCGGAGGCAUUUCCUAUAAGAGUCAUCAUUGUUCUAAGCAUUGACCUUUGAGUAAAUUAAAGUGUGAUGAUCAUCAUUAUUGGAGCAUUGUCCCAUGUGAGGAAAUAAAAGAUGCCAAAGAAGCCCAUAAAAAAAGAGGCCAAAGAGCCCAAAAAAAGAGAAGAGAGGAAAAGAGAGAAGGGACAAUGCUACUAUCUUUUUCCACACUUGUGCUUCAUAACAGCACCAUGUUCUUCAUGAUUUAGAGUCUCUUGAUUUCUCACCACCAUAUGCUAGUGGGAAUCUUCGUUAUAUAACUUGGCUUGUAUAUUCCAGUGAUGGGCUUCCUCAAAAUUGCCUUAGGUCUUCGUGAGCAAUCAAGUUGUAUGCACACCCGCUAGUUCUUCUUUUGAGCUUUCACAUACUUAUAGCUCUAAGUGCAUCCAUUGCAUGGUAAUCCCUACUCUUUCGCAUUGAUAUCUAUUAAUGGGCAUCUCCAUAGCCCUUUGAUAUGCUGAGUCAAUGUGACCAUCUCCUCCUUUUUGUCUCGCAACCUCCACCACACUCUAUUCCACCUAUAGUGCUAUAUCCAUGGCUCACGCUAAUGUAUUGCGUGAAAGUUGAAAAAGGUUUGAGAAAGUAAGAGUGCGAAAACAAUUACUUGGUCAAUACCGGGAUUGUGCAUGAUUUACAUUAGUUGUGUGGGGAUGAUGGAGCAUAGCCAAACUAUAUGAUUUUGUAGGGAUAACUUUCUUUGGCCUUAUUAUUUUGAAAGUUCAUGAUUACCUUGCUAGUUUGCUUGAAGUAUUAUUGUUUUCAUGUCAAUAGCAAACUAUUGUUUUGAAUCUUACGGAUCUGAACAUUCAUGUCACAUGAAAGAAGUUACAAAGGACAAACAUGCUAGGUAGCAUUCCACAUCAAAAAUUCAGUCUUUAUCACUUCCCUACUCGAGGACGAGCAGGAGUUAAGCUUGGGGAUACUUGAUACGUCUCCAACGUAUCUAUAAUUUUUUAUGGUUCCAUGCUAUUAUCUUGUCAAACUUUGGAUGUUUUGUAUGCCUUUUAUAUCUUUUUUGGGACUAACUUAUUAACUCAGUGCCAAGUGCUAGUUCCUGUUUUUUCCGUGUUUUUGACCCUUUUCAGAGGAGAAUAUUAAACGCAGUGCAAACGGAAUAAAACUUCCGAAAAGAUUUUUUCUGGAACAGAAGAUACGCAUGGGGCGUGAGAACCAAGGCAGAGGCCACCAGGGGAGGCCACAAGCCCCCUAGGCGCGUCCAACGGGUCCCGCGCCUAGCACGCUUGUGGGCCCCUUGUGGCUCGCCUGCCCUACCUCUUCUGCCUAUAAAUUCCCGAAAAAUCCAAACUACGCGAGAGAUCCACGAAAAUAUUUUUCCGCCGCCGCAAGCUUAUAUCUCCGCAAGAUCCCAUCUGGGGCAUGUUCUGGUGCCCUGUCGGAGGGGGAUUCGGAUACGGAGAGCUUCUUUAUCAACACCAUUGCCUCUCCGAUGAUGCGUGAGUAGUUCACCAUAGACCUUCGGGUCCAUAGCUAGUAGCUAGAUGGCUUCUUCUCUCUCUUGGAUCUUCAAUACAAAGUUCUCCAUGAUCUUCAUGCAGAUCUAUCGAUCUUCUUUUGUGGUGUGUUUGUCGAAAUCCGAUGAAUUGUGGAUUUAUAAUCAGAUUAUCCAUGAAUCUUAUUUGAAUUUCUGCUGAUCUCUUAUAUGCAUGAUUUCAUAUCCUUGUAAUUCUCUUCGAGUUGUGGGUUUUAUUUGGCCAACUUGAUCUAUGAUUCUUGCAAUGGGAGAAGUGCUUGGUUUUGGGUUCAUACCGUGCGGUGACCUCACCCAAUGACAGAAGGGGUAGCGAGGCACACAUCGUGUUGUUGCCAUCAAGGAUAAAAAGAUGGGGUUUAUAUCUAUUGCAUGAAUUUAUCCCUCUACAUCAUGUCAUCUUGCUUAAGGCGUUACUCUGUUCGUCAUGAACUCAAUAUACUAGAUGCAUGCUGGAUAGCGGUCGAUGUGUGGAGUAAUAGUAGUAGAUGCAGAACGUAUCAGUCUACUUGUCUCGGACGUGAUGCCUAUAUGUAUGAUCAUUGCCUUAGAUAUCUUCAUGACUUUGUGCGGUUCUAUCAAUUGCUCGACAGUAAUUUGUUCACCCACCGUAAUAUCUGCUAUUUUGAGAGAAGCCUCUAGUGAACACUAUGGCUCCCGGGUCUACUUCACAUCGUAUUUUCAGCCUUACACUUUUACUUUGUUGCAGUUUCCGCCUUCAGAUCUCACUUUGCAAUCAAUCUUGAAGGGAUUGACAACCCCUUUAUAGUGUUGGGUGCAAGCUCGUUUGUGUUUGCGCAGGUACUCUGGACACUUGGCUUGAUUCUCCUACUGGAUUGAUACCUUGGUUCUCAAACUGAGGGAAAUACUUAUUGCUACUGUGCUGCAUCACCCUUUCCUCUUCAAGGGAAAAACCAAGGCAAGAUCAAGAGUUAGCAGACGGUAAUGUGACCGUUUAUAAAGCUCAACUUGUGGCAAAGGGUUUUUCACAAGUUCAAGGAGUUGACUACGAUGAGACAUUCUCAUCGGUAGCGAUGCUUAAGUCCGUCUGAAUCAUGUCUGUUGGGGAACGUCGCAUGGGAAACAAAAAAUUUCCUACGCGCACGAAGACCUACCAUGGUGAUGUNNNNNNNNNNNNNNNNNNNNNNNNNNNNNNNNNNNNNNNNNNNNNNNNNNNNNNNNNNNNNNNNNNNNNNNNNNNNNNNNNNNNNNNNNNNNNNNNNNNNCACUGGUGGCAGGGCGCGGUGGACGCCAUGCUCAAGGUGCGGGAGUGGUCGGAGCUGGCGGCGGGGCCGCGCUGGAAGACCUUCAUCCGGCGCUUCGGCCGCGGGCCCGGCCCGCGCCCGCACCACGCCUUCGGCGGCCGCAAGCUCAACUACGACGCGCUCAGCUACGCGCUCAACUUCGACGAGGGCCACGGCGCCACCCCCGACCCCGGCGACCACGCCGGCGGCUACCGCGACUUCUCCUCCCGCUUCGCCGCCCCGCCCUCCUCCGCCAAGUCCUCCAUGGACCUCGGCGGCCGCGACGCGCCGCCGCUCUUCCGCCCGCCUCCCGCCGACGCCUGACCGCUCCUCCGCCCCCCUUCCUCCCCGAUCGCGCCACAGGAAAAGGAAAGGUAUAAUCGCUCGACGACGAUGGUGGUCAAACUCUCAAAGCGUGGCAAAAAGAUGGCGGCCUUUUCUCGGAUGGUUCGGUUCCAUGGGGACUGGAUGGAUGGGGAUUCGUUUCUUUCUUCUUUCUUCCAGUUCUUUCUCCCCCUCCCCCUGCUCCCAUGAUUGAUUGAUGAUGUUCCCCCCACUGUACAAAGAAAAACAANNNNN